CUAUGUAUAUAAGGUUCAAAAGUCACUAAAUAUUAUCUUUACAUUCACAUGACUUCACUUUAUUUUAUUACAAGCAUAUUACAUGAUUUCCAUACACAAAAGAAUAAAAGUAAUUCCAAGCUCUUCAAUAGUCUUCAUUCAUACUCCACUCUUGAUCAUGCUUGUUCAUGCUCCAUUACCAUGUACCAUGUUGCAAAGAAAACAAUAAAAAUAAGUUAUAUUCAUUUCUAAAAAUUCAGCACUUACAUAACAAAAAUUUAGCAUCAUGAGCAUUUAUAAAAUACACAUAAAAAGUCAUCUUGAUUCAUAUCAUCCAUCUCUAAAAUUCAACACAUGCACAUACGUUCACAUCAUAUACAAAAUCAUUAAAAAAACAAGUCAAAUAUAAUAAAAAUUUAGCAUGUUAUGCAUAUACCAUGAAUAUAAAUUCCAUUUUAUGUAUCAUAUUCAUUCCACUUCUAUACAACAAGUAAAACCCCAUAAAUCAUGUGCAUUAAAAAUUCAGCAUUCAUGCAAUAAUAAUUUCAUCCAUGAACAUCAAUCCAAAUGCAUAUAUAAGUUAUUCAUUCAUACCAUGUAAAUACCCAAACAUGUGUUCAAGUGAUGCCAUAUAAAUUAAUUCAAUUUCCCUCACAUUCACUAAAAAUUCAGCAUAAGCACAUGCAUGUAAAUUCACAUACAUCCAUGUUUUAACUACCUUAAACUUCCACUAACUAACUUCUAACCACUUUGGGCAAUUGCCCAAAGUGCCCAAAACAACCCAAACUAACUUCUAACCAAUUCUCAACCUCUAAGCAUCCCUCACCUAGUUCUAUAUAAUCAUUCAUCAUCCACCCAUUAAGGGGAUUCUUUUUUUUUUUUUGAUUUCACUCAUUCUUCACUUUCUCUCAAGUUUUUACUCCAUUCUCCAACCUUUUCUCAUUAGAUCUCAAAUCCAUGGUUGUUGAAGCUUCAAUCAACUUGAGCAUAAACCCUCACCAUACUUCACAUCAUAGUUUUUCAUGAUUAAAGCACAAAAAAAAAAAUCAACAACAAGAAAAUAAAUGGAAAAGAGAUGAAGAGGAAUUGAAUCAAGUGAACGCGAAGAAUCACUUACCAUAUUGAAUUUGCAUCACCAUUGAAGAAACAUCGGAGGGUCUUCGAUCGGUAAGCCUCAAGCUUUAUUUAUCACUCCAUAACUUCUUGUGUUGAGUCACCUUUGUAUGCUUGUUUAUUUAUUUGUCUUACUUUUCAUCUUGUGUGGACGAUUACCCCGAGAAUCUAAGCCUUGCCAUGAACAUAAACCAUAAAAAAUUCAGCAUCUUGUCAAUACCAAAACUUGACCCCUCUCAUCACCAAUUUCAACCUUCAUCAAUAAUUCAUCAAGAAACGUCACCAAGAAUUCUUAUCGCAACCCUAACCAAUACCAAAUCAAAACCCGAUUGAAAAAUCAUAACCAUUAGAGGAAUCAAACCCAAAUCCAAAACAGUUUAACCGUAAACAAGCAUUGCAAGGAAAAUCAUUCCCAAUAGAAAGAGAAAGGAAAAAAUAAGAAGCAAAACUUGGUUCAGAAUUUUUGUCGAACACUUUGUGUGCAACCGAUUAUGAGUCGAAAACUCUAAACCAAAAUCUGAGUUGAAUACAAUCUAAACAAUUUUGAACCAAUAUAAACCAGAACAAAAUAAAAUUGUAACUUCGAAACCAAAACCCAACUGAACCAAAAUCUGAAGCGGAACCUAAAUGAACUCUGAGUUGAUAACGAAUCUAAAUUGAAACACCUGAAUGUUGAACCGAAGUAAUUGUCGAAUUUCGAAACUGUUGGAAAUCACGAUAGAAUUCCAUUUGUUGCGUGAGAAAUCAGUCACAGAACUGUGAGCUUUAGAAUCACGUUUGGUUGAAAAUCACUUAUUUGAAAAAUCCCGCUUGAAGGACGCUUUGAGCGUUCUCGUUUCUGCUAUGUUUCAUGCUGCAAUUUUCUUUGCAAUUCUCGUUCUACUACACUAGUUCUUUUGUUUCCUUUUCUAUUAUCCCCUUUCUUAAUUAUUAUCAUGUUACUUUUUAAUUUUAAUUUUUUUAUAUUAUUAUAAUGUGAUUAUCACUUCCACGACACGUUCUGUAGUGCUAUAUCUCACUAGCUUUAUUUUAGUAAAUCUCACUAGCUUUAUUUUAGUAAAUUAAUUUUAGCUAUUCAAUACAUUAGUUAGUUUAGCUUAGAAAAUACUCCUCACUCCGUCUCAUAAAAGUGUCUCAUUUGUAUUUUUUUUUCUUCUAAAAAUAAUUGUUCUUUUAUAAUAUCAAUGUAUUAUUUAUUAUCAUUUUUUCACUAUCAUACCCCUAUUUAUUAACUUUCACUUUAUUUAACCACUCUUUUAAUUACAAUUAAUAGAGAUAUUUUAGUAAAUGAUAUUAGUUUUAUCAUCAAAACUAACACAUCUAAUUAUUUUCUUAAAAACUUUAAAUUAUUUAAAUUGGACCGUUUUUAUGAGGCGGGGGAGUAGUACAUUAGUUGUUAGUUUAGAAACAUGAUUCAUCUCGGUAGCUUAGUUUAGAUUGAUAUCAUAACUUAGUUUAAAAAACAAUUAAAUAGCUUUAGUUUAUAUAUAUAAUUUAGUUACUAUAAUAUGACUUUAGUUUUAGUUUAGAAAAAUAUCUUUUUUUAGUCAUUUUAAAAAUAAUACUUAGUUCAGAUUUUAAUUAGGAAUUGUUAUUUUAAUUAGAAUUAGUUUUUAGAAUUUCUCUUUAAAAUUCAAUGCAUUAGAGAUUAGGAUUAACAUUGUUUAAUUUUCAGUUUUUAAUGCCAUUAUCUUUUUCAUAAAAUCCAUGUGUCGGAUUCAUACUUUGAUCUUAUUUCUGAUUGGUUGACUGAUCAAAGUUAUCUUUGAUCAAGUAGUUCUUUGACAUAUGUCUAAUUCCCCUAUUCAAUCAAGUGAUCAAAAGCCUCUUGAUCACUUGAUAGGAUUAGUCCUCUAUACUUGCAUUGCACUGGACCUCAACUCAAGUCAAGCUUCUCCUGUAAUACUUUAAAGACCCUUGACAUCAAGACUGAACUACUAUUCAAAAACAACAAAGGUCAUGUAUCAACACUUGUUUAUUAUGAUUCAAAUUGUGCGCCAUGAGUCUCAAGCAAUAGGAAAGGAAUGAGAGUGGAUAAUUCCUUAACUCAUUCUGAAUAUCUUUGGGUACGGGACGAAAUGACCCUGUUGCUCGUCGUAUUCACCUUUUCUCAUAGACUUUAGUGUGGUUAAUAUCCAAUGACUUUCAAGUAUUCUUCUUCUUUCAUAUAUAUCAUUUCUCUUGCCUCAUCAGUUUCUGCAUUCUUUGUUCCACCGUAGGUCUGACUACGGAGCUCUAACUUUCUCAUUUCACGGUGAGAAUACACAUGCAUGAGGACUCAGAUUCUCCGCGAGCUACCCUAUUUAUUAAUCCUACCUUAUUUAUUAAUUCUUCAUUCUCUCCCAUUCAUCAAUCAAUACAGUCCUUUUGAAAUCAAAUACCUUAUCCCUUGGGAUUCCAUGUAUAUCCUUUUAGGACGAUUUAAUCGGAGUCCACCUCGUGAAUCAAAAGUUGUUUGGCUUAUUUCCAAACACUUAGUUCCUUUGUUUUUGGUUAUUCCAAUACAAUGAUACCAUGCCUUAGGCCCAUCACUUGUUGGUUUACUGUUACUCUUCAAUUCAAAGUUUAUUCCUUCAUGGAUUAAAUAUACCAUUCUUUUUGGUUUCAAAUUGUUUGUCCUCUACAAUGAUAUAUUGUUCCUUGUAUCAAAAAUCAUUUCCCUUUGGGUCUCAUACCUAUCCUUUUAGGAUGGAUUUAGUCGGAGUUCACCUUGUGAACCAAGAGUUGUUUGGCUUAUUGCAAAACAUUUAAUUCUCUUUGUUUUUGGCCCGAUCAUAUACAGUGAUACCAUGCCUUAGGCUUCUCACUUGCUGGUUCAUGCCUGGUUACUCUUUGGUUCAAAGUUCGUUUGCCUUUAUGGGUGCCCAUGCUACCAUUUUAUUUUGGUAAAAGUCAUAUUCUUCAUCACACAAAUAUCUCAUUCUCUUUGUUUUCGUAGUCGGUCGAACUACGGAGCUCUGAUUUUCUCAUUGCAUAGUGAGAAUACAUAGGCACGAGGAUUCAAAUUCUCUACGAGCUACCCUAUUUAUUAAUUCUUCACCAAUCAAUACCAUCUUUUUGAAACAAAAUACUUUAUCCCUUUGGAUUCCAUGCAUAUCCUUUUAUGACGAUUUAAUCGGAGUCCACCUUGUGAAUUGAGAGUUGUUUGGCUUAUUGUCAAAACACCUAAUUCCUUUGUUUUUGGUUAUUCCAAUACAGUGAUACCGUGCCUUAGGCCCCUCACUUGUUGGUCUACCUUUACUCUUCGGUUCCGAGUUUAUUCCUUCAUGGACUCAAUAUAUCAUUCUUUGAUUUCAAAUUGUUUUUUUUCCUAUAGUGAUAUAUUGUUCCUUGUACCAAACAUCAUUCUCCUUUGGGCUGCAUACUUAUCCUUUUAGGAUGAUUUAAUCAGAGCCCACCUUAUGAACCAAGAGCUGUUUGGCAUAUUAUUAGACAUUUAAUUCUCUUUGUUUUGGUCAUUCUGAUACAGUGAUACCAUGCCUUAGGCCCCUCGUUUGUUGGCUUGCCUGUUUACUCUUUGGUUCAAAGUUCAUUUACCUUUAUGGGUUCCCAUGCCACCAUUUUCUUUUGGUGCAAGUUAUACUUUUUCAUCACUUCCAAUCUCUCAUCUCUUUGUUUUCGUAGUUCCACGAACUAUAGAGCUCAAACUUUCUCAUUGCACAAUGAGAAUACGUUUGCACAAGGCUUCGAACCCUUGGCGAGCACAAUCCUAUUUAUUCUUUCUUUUGCCUUAGGGCACCAUCCAUAUCUUUCAUGAUCUGUCACCUACAUUCAAUCAUGACCAUUCACCUCAGUAACAUACUUCCUUUCUUUGGAACCAAAUACAACUUUCCUUGGAUUUCCAUAUAUAUCCUUUUAGGAAAAUUAUCCACCUUUGUACUAAGAGUUGUUUGGCUUAUUGCCAAACAUUUAAGUCCUUGUUUUCGACCUAACCAUACAGUGAUACCAUACCUUAGGCCCCUCACUUGUGGUUUGUGUCACCUUUACUCUAUGGUUUCAAAUACUAUUUAUCUUAUGAAUUCCAAUACACCCUUAUCUUUGGUUCCAAAUUAUAUCCUUCGAUCACUUUUACUAAAUCCUUCAUUUCUUUGACUUUGAUUACCUUCCUCUUUUCCUACCAUUCAUAUCCAUUAUUCACUAUUCACUACAUACAUAUCUUCUACCUUCAUUCACUCCAUGUGAUAUACCUCUCUUUUCGAGCCAAAUACAAUAUUUCUUUGAGCUCCAUCUUGUAUCUGCUUGUGAACCAAAAGUUGUUUGGCUUAUUGCCAGACAUUUAAUUCUCUUUGUUUCGGUUAUUCUAAUACAAUAAUACCAUGCCUUAGGCCCCUCACUUGUUGGUUCAUACCAGUUUUUCUCUUGGGUUUAGAUUUAAUCCUUUUUGGAGUCAAAUCAUAUUCUCAUUUGAUUCAGACCAUAUUUGUUAUCACAACUUAUUUUCACCUCCAAUCAUUAGUUAUAUGAACUACGGAGCUUUGGAUUCCUUAUUGCACUAUAAGGAUACGUAGGCAUGAGGGCCCUAAUCCUCACUAAACACUCUAUCUAUUCUUUUCCUUUUUCCCCUUAUCAUUUCGCGAGUAAUCCUUAGAUAUAACACUCAUUCAAACAAAGAACGAUCAAAAUGGUUCCCGUUGAGUACAACGAAUGUUAGGGGUGCUAAUACCUUCCCCUUGCAUGAUCAACUUCUUUACCCAGUUUCUCUUAGCGGCGCGGUUAUCACGUCGCAACAAUAUUUUUUUUUGCCACGGAAUUUUCACGUCGCAACAUUAUGACGCUAAGAGAAGAUUUUCUUGUAGUGUAAGUAGAUAUAUCAAAACAAUUUAAUAAAAAACUUCAAAUCAAUUUUGUUAGCGAUUCUACAAAACUAAACAUGUGAAAAAUAAAACUUGAAUUAUAAAUUGAUUGAAAUAAUUCAAAAUCUUAUCAUGGUGCACUGAAAAUUCACUCAUUUAUUUCAAAAACAUCAAUAUGAAAGGAGAGACUCUUCUGGUGUUUAUCCUGUUCUUAAAAUGUAUAUUUUUAGACAAAGGUUUAUACUACAAAUAUCACUUUUUUCUUCUUGUUUUUACAAAAUUCUAACAUACAUAUAUCACUUUUCAUUCUUUAUAGUGUAGCUAAAUUUUUCACCUAGCUUUAACCAUUCAUCUCUUAUAUUUGCUUGAGACUUCUUAGCCAAUUCAUGCUCAUCUCUCAAACAAUGCACUUGUUCCCUUAACUCAUCUCUUUCAACUUUUAGAAUCUUUGCUUUCUCAAAUAUUUCUCUCUUUGUGCAAGCAACCAUGUUCUUGGUUUCUUGUGAAGCACUUAUAUUAGCUCUAACACCAUUGAUUAGUUCUUCUAACUCUUUCUUCCUUUCCUCCAAAUACUCCAACUCAUUCAACAAUUCAUUUUCAAAACACUUCACUUCUCUAAAAAGUUUUUUGUUAGCUUCAAGACCCUCUUCUAUUUCAUCCCUUUUCAACAAUUUUGCUUUUGUAGACUCUAUUUUCUUGCUUUCAUUUGUGUAAUCAUUACUCCAACAAAUGAACUGUCUUGAAACUUCUAUAACCAAUGAUCUUGUUUCAAUAGAUAUUCCUUCUUCUUUUGGUAAAUUUGUGAGGUAAUCUAAGGUAGAUUUCAUGGUGUUGUACUCAUUAGGCCUUAAAAGAAUUGAAAAAUCUUUGGUGAGAAAAUCAUCAAGUGUCUUCAAAGCUUUCUUGGUUUCUUCACUUGGCAUUGUUUUGUUAGAUGAUUCAGAAACCACUUUUUUUUCAUUAUUCUCAGCAUCAAGAAUAGCAUAAAAUGCUUCCAUGUCUUCAUCAUCCAGAUUAGCAUUAAAUUCUUCGACAUUACAACCAAUCUUCUCAAAUUCAUUGCUUGAAUCUAAAUCAACAUCAGGAUCUUCAAAUAGGAUAUCUUCCAUGUUAGCUUCUUGCCUACAUACAUGAACUCCACACCAGCUUACAUUCACAUUUGAUGAUCCAUUUAUUUUCUCACAAGAAAUCUCAAUCUGAUUCCAAUCCUCAACUAGAUACGAAUCGAGAUCAUGAAACUUGAAAGAUGGAUGAGUCCUCAAAUCAAACAGCCAUACAUGAUCUGUCACCAUUUCUGAAAAACUUCUUGGUAUUUCCAAUUCAUAAACUUCUUCACUGUUUAUAUAAAAUCGGAUUUCGCAACUGAAACUCUUCUUCAUUUCACUCUUCAUUGCAAGAGUGAAACAUAAAAUGAUUGGUGGAAAAUUUUCAUGCACCCAAAAGGUCAUGUAUUCUCCUUCGCUCGUGUGAUCAAACCAUUCGGGAAUUCCUGUUCCCGGAACCAUAAUUUGUAACUCACAUGCGUCGAAAGUUUCCUGUUAUAUAUUAUUGACAAGUUCAAGGAUCCGAUUACAAAAAUUUCGAAUUGUUUUUAGACACAAACAAAGUAUUUAAAUCAUUUAAGAAUGAGACAAACCUGGCUUAGUAACAAGUUUGAUGACUCUGCAGUCAAUGAUAUGCAGUUUCUUGCGUUAAUAUAUUGCGAAUUGGGAGGAAUGCAUGGAAUUUCUCGGAGUUCUAUGCAGUCGUCUAAGUGAAGCAUUUGCAACGAAUCAUAUUCUUGUAUGGAUCUUGGAAGAGUAAGAAAAUUAUUUCCCGAAAGGACUAAUGAUGACAAAUUUGGGAAACAGUUGAAAAUUACGGGAAGAUCUUCAUCGAUAAGACCACAGUUUUCUAGAUUCAAAGACUGAACAUUGAAAAAUGUAAGAGUAGAUUUUCCUAAUUCCCUCAAUUUUGUCAAGAAGUUUCUCAAUUGCGGACAUCCUUCAAUAUCAAGGUUUCUAAGAUUCUGCAGCAUAUCAAUGUUUUCAGGAAGUUCCUUGAGACUCAAGCAAGAUGUCAUGCUUAAUUCUUCAAGAGCAACAAGGUUUUCAAUGGAAGGAGGCAAUUCUUCAAUACCAGUUCCUUCAAUUGAAAUAGAUAUGAGAUUAUCCAUUUUGGCCAAAAUUGUUGGAAAAGUUUGAAGACUUGAGCACCAAUUAAGAAUUAGAGUUUUCAAUGAUGUCAAUUUGAUAGCUUGUGGAAAAUCUUUAAGUUUAGUGCAUCCAUAAGCCCUUAACUCAGUAAGGUUCUCAAGAAAUCCAAGAGAGUCAUCAAUUUUUUCAAGAUUUGUACAAUAGUCAAGAUUUAGUUCUGUUAAAUUUGGUACACCAGAAACGUCCGGUAGCUUUGUUAAGAAUUCACACCGACUCAAAUCCAUAGAAGUCAAAGAAUCGAAAUGCUGCAAAUCAGAAAAAUUAGAUUAACAAACUUGGUUCAACCCUUAAAAAACCGACCAGUAAGAUGAAGACUGACCCACAUAUCCAAACCACAUUUCAUCCAAUGUUAGAGAGAAAUGCAUAAAAUGAUAACAUGAAAGCUUACCUUGAAUGGUUCUUGCAAUGUAAAGCGACUUUGCGACAAGUUGAGUGCAACAAGUUUCUUUGGGUGAAAAGUCUGUGGCAAAGACGAUGAAGGAUAUUCCAUCCAAUCAAGCAACCUUAAAUUGUUUGGAAGAUGUUGAGGGCUUCCAUAAAAGUGUCCAUUUCUAACUAUAAGAAUUUUGAGAUUUUUCAUCUUUUUGAAGGAAUCAUCUUUCAACUGUACCAUAUAGUGAUCAGGGAGAUCUACCAUCAUGCCUUGAAUUCUAUAAGUCCCCUUUUAAACAAAAGCAAACAUGAAAAGUCAUAAUUCGAUGCAAAAGCACUUACUAGAUUGCUUGAAAGAGCUUAUGGAAAUAGCUUAUGACAUAGUCAUAAGUUGUUUUCAGCUAUCUCCUUAAUCUCUUCAGAAUAACUUAUCAACAUAGUUUGUAGUUUAUGUAUAAGCAUUUAUAAGAUAAGUGUUUAUGCUAUAAACUCCUAAUUAAGUUGUUUAUUCUAUAAGAAAUCAUGUUAAACAAAACAAUGGUAAUAACAUAGAAAUGAUGGCGCUUACCGAACUUUCGGUUAGUACUUCAAUAACAUCCUCGUGAUUCCAUAAUCUACUCCGUUUUCCAGGCUCUAACGGCGAAACUUCUCUAACAACUUCCCUUCCCAUGUCUUGAAUCAAAUCAUGCAUUCUCAAUCGGUUAUAUUCGUCAAUACUUACAAGAGAUCUAUCAGUAAGUACACUGAUACCGAAUUUCGGAAAGAAACCACAAGCUUGAAGUGUUUUUUCGACAUAUUCAACAGUCUCACCUUUGAAGAAACAAGCUAUAUCCAAGAAAAUCUCCUUUUCAUUCUCUUCUAAAUUAUCAAAAGUUACUCGAAGCACAUUUUGAACUUCUUUAUUAGGAAUUUUUUCGUAUUUAGCCAAUGCAGAUUUCCAUUCCUCAACUGUUUUACCAAACAAAUUAGAUCCCAUUACUUUCAAAGCCAAUGGAAGUCCUUCUGCAUAAACCACAACAUUGUUCGAAAUCUCCAUAUACUCCUUCUCACUUGCUUUUCUUUUGAAUGCAUUCCAUGUAAAGAGUUCAAAAGCUUCUUCAUGAUUCAAUUUCUUCACCUCAUAAGUUUGAUCAACUAGAUGAGAAGCUAGCAAUUGUUUAUCUCUUGUUGUUAUGAUUAUUACACUUCCGAAACCGAACCAAUCCCGUCCUCCUGCUAAUGCUUGAAGCUGUUCCAACUUGUCAACAUCAUCAAGAAUCAAAAGCACUUUUUUGCAACAUAAUCUCUUCUUUAUAAUUGGAAUUCCUUUAUAAACAUUUCCUAGCUUAAUGUUGUUUUCACCAACUGUUUCAUAAAGAAGUGUUUCUUGAAGUUGAACUAAGCCUUGUCUUUGAGUUGAAGCUUCUCUUAUAUCAGUAAGAAAACUUGUGACUUCAAAUUGAUUAGCAAUUGAGUUGUACAAUGCUCUUGCAAUUGUUGUUUUGCCUAUGCCUCCAUGUCCAUGAAUUCCAAAGAAAGAAACUUCUUCAACAGGCUUUUCGAAUUUCAAAAGUGAUUUUACUUCUGAUAUGCGAGUUUCUAGUCCAACCGGAUGCUCCGCAAUAUGCAAAAGGGUGUUAUUUAAUUUGCUAGAAACCUCCUCAAUGAUCCUUAGGAUAAGCUCAUAUUCAUACCUACAAAGUUACAAAUUCAAACACAAUUACUAUCACCGUUUCGAAACACAAUCCGCGUCAAAAAUUUGGACCGUGAACAAAAUGAUCAAUGAUCAAGGUUUUAAAUAACAAUCGCGGCCGCGUUGCAAUCGCGUAAAGGUUUUCGCGAUUUUGGUCGGUUCAGGCAAAUAUUCAAACCUAUCAAGUUACAAAUUCAAACAUAAUUACUAUCACCAUUUUUAAAAAAAAGAUCCGCAUCAACAAUUUGGACCGUGACGUCAAGGUUUUUGAUGUCUGAACAAAAUGAUUUGCAUUCUUGUAGAGGCUUUUGCAAUUUUGAUCGUUACAGGUGUUGCAACACUGAUUGUGGUCGCUGCUGUGUAAAUUAACCACACGAUCUAUUCUUUAUCAUAAAAACAGUUAAUAACGUAUCAGUAUCGUCACUUUCAAUUAAGUUAGAAUAGAUACAUGAACAAAAAGAAGAAUAUAUAUAUGUAUUUUUACAUACCCAUGGCCAAUUUUUAAGCUCCAACCUGACAAAUUGGCUGCAUCAAACAAAGCUUUUUUCCACUUGUUCAACCUUUGAACAUCACCCUUGAAUGUGACUUCAUGUUUAGCCAUUGCUAUUCCAAAGCUUCCUCUUUGAUGCCUAAUCCAAGAAGGGUCAACAUAGUAGAAAACCGGAAAAACCAACUGUCCCUUUGUUUUCCAACACUCAAGAAUCAUGGCAAGUUCAUCAAGACACCAAGUUGAGGAAGCAUAGUUUUCAGAAAACACAAUGAUUGAAAUCCUAGAUUCUUCAAUGGCUGUAGUAAGAGAUGGAGAUAUUUGCUCUCCUCUUCUAAGCUUCUCAUCAUCAAUGAAAACAUUGAUACCCUUUUGGUGCAAACCAUGAUAGAGAGAGCCUGUGAAACUUGUCCUUGUAUCUUCACCUCUAAAACUAAGAAACACAUCAUAGUUCCAUCCAUGUAUCAUUGUGGUUAUGGCUUCAAUUAUCAAACACGGACAAAAGUUUAGGCUGAAUCGCGAACUAAGUCGCUGAUUGUUAAUACGUUUUCAUAAAUGAAAACAAAUAUUUGACUUUGAGGUGCUAACAAAUGUUUCUCUUUCUUUUGAGUUUUAACAAUCAACUAAUAAAACUAUGAGUCAUAUUCAACUUACUAUGAAUACACUUAUUAAUUAGAUACAAUCAUAAGUCUCCUAGUUGAAUUAUUUACAUUUUGUGUUCUUCCCAAAAAAAAGAAACAAGGAACGUGUGGCUAUGAUUCUUAUCACAUGCAUAGGUUCCUUCUCCUUUUGAAUUAUUGUGACACAAAUCGUUUGUAGAUUUGGGAUAAAAAAUAUGUGAUAUAUUUCCUUUUUUUUUUAAUUGUUUUUUUUAAUUGUCAUUUAUAAAUUUUAAGGUAGUAUUAAUUAUAUUUUUGUCAAAAUUAAUCUUAAAUAAUUAUUAUAAAAAGAGAAAAAAUAAAAUAAAUGAUUAGUUUUUAUAUAAUAAUAAUGAUUAGUCCUAAAUAAUUAUUUUUUAAUAUACGUAAAAGAAAAUCAAAAAAUAAUAUUUAAAAAUAAACGGAGGUAGUAAUGUAAAGGUAGCUUGCAAAGUCAACCAAUAAAUAAAUUGUGGCUCCAUCGUUGAACACAACUUAUUCCUUUAUUAAUAUUGGUGGCUUACAUUUCAGACUCAUGAAGAUAUUUUACAUAUUGACCAAAAACAAAUUGUUUUUCAUGAAUUAUUAUUAUUCGCCCAAGUUGUUGUGUUUAUCAUACAAUGCUUAAAUAUAUAUAUAUCUUUUUAAAUUCAUUGAAUUUUAGUUAUUAAAAUCAAAAUUUAUAAAUAAUAUAUAUAUUUUAAUUUUAGGAAUUAAAACAAAAUAAAAUUUAAUAUUUAAAAUUUUUAUUCAUAAAAAAAGAUAGAGGAGGACUAAAUACAAACACACGGCAAUUUAUUUAAACUUAUAUACUAUCAUUAGACAAAAACACAAUUUAAAAAAAUUUAAGUUUUUACUUAAUUGGAUAUUUUGUACAACAAUAAAAUUUAUGAUUUUUUUAUUUAAAUAAUUUUAAUAUAUUAAAUUGUAAAUAGUGUAAACUUGUGAUGCGUGAAUUCUAAUUUAACUUUUUACUUAAAUUUUUGUGUCUAACCUCACCAAUUGAGGAGUGGAAUAGACUUUAUUAACAAAAUAUUAAAAGGCUGAAUAAGAAAUAAUAAUAUAAAUAUUUAAAAUAAUAUAAUAAACUUAAGUAUAUUAUAUAUAUACUAUAUUAUAUAUAUAUAUAUAUAUAUAUAAUAGUAUUAUUUCCAUAUAUUGUAUGUUGAGUAGAUAUUCUGCAUAAUUCUGUCCUUGUGUUAAGCGCAGAUAUGUUGUUGUCUGCAGUAUUAACCUCGGUAUAUUCUCAGGUAGUAUAACCUCAGGUUAACACUAUUUUAAUAUGAUUUGGUUUUUAUAUAGUAUGAUACAUUGAUAAUAUAUGCUCUUGUCGUUAACCGUAAGCCCACGGCGUAUAUAGUCUUAGUCAAAAAAUUUUAAGUGAUAAAUCUAGGUUGAACGUUUUAUGCAAAUAUAGUAGUACUUUGGCCCUGCGUUACGGGUAACCAGCGCUUACCCGGGUUUAUACCUAUUUAGACUGAUAAAUUAGGACAUACAAUUGGUAAUCUUAUAAUAUAGUAUUAGAUAGAUAUUGGUGAUGCCUAUUUUAGUUGAUAUUGUGAGGAUAAUAAUUUUGUGUAGUAGUUAUUUAUAGUAUUAUAAGAAUAUUAUAUUGGAUAUUUACAAUUCCGACAGAAUAGUGUAGGAAAGGCGCCUAGAUUGUGUUUUUAACAGUUGCAUUAACAAAGCUGCAGCUUGGAGGCUUAUUAUCGAGUCAGUUCUACUAGACGAUGUGUGUAUUAUAAAUGAAAUUUUUGAUCCUUGUUAUGUAUUAAUUUGCUCUUAUAGAAGUAGUGUCUCAGAAUGAUUAUGGUAGUAUGUAUGUGAGAUUUUGCACAGGAUAUUUAAUCUUGUUUGUCAUACUACAUCAGGUGUAUCAGUUCUAUAUAGCUCUAAUUUCAUUUUCUCGUGAUAACUUUGCUAACAUACUCACUCACGUUGUAGUUAUCUACAUAUAGUUAGGUUAUAAUUGUGCAAAAUAUUUAAGUUUGAUAAGGUUGUGAAAGGCUUUAUGUACCUUAGUAUGCCCAUUAAAAAUGGCAUAAUGAUAUUUUAUAUAUAGUAUAUGAGAGGAGUAUGUACGAUACUGAAUCACUCUAGAAUAAGUGUUUUCAUGAUGAUGAACCGGUAGUUCGAAUGUGCUUAUUUUCGAGAUUAGAUCUUCAACUUUGCUGUCGAAUUUUGUGAGUAUCGUUGAUGAUUAUAUAAAUUAUUAUUUGAUCAAUAUAGUAGAUAUUUUUAAUUGGUUUUCAUUUAUCUUCUGGAUUUGUGGUCAAUACUAUUAUUUGUGACGUAUAGAAUAUAAAUAGCUUUAAGAUUAUUAAACUACACAUUAUAACAUUUGAAACUUAUGAUAAUUUAUAGGUAUUUAUUUUAUAUACUCCGAAUAUUUACAAUUUUCGAUGUAUUGGUUGUGUAUUCUCAAAUCUUUCAUUUUUUAUUAAGCCGACACCUUUUUUAUUCUGUAAUAAUAGACACACGUCUAAUAUACUUUGAAGAUUUAUUAAUUUAAUGACGCAUGCUCAGUAUGUCCGCGUGAGAUGUGAAAACUCGUUUAACCCGAUAAGAUAUGCAGUGUUAUUAUCAAUGCCUCUACUAUAUGAGUUAUAUUUUAAGACCGGUCAUGGGAUUUGUUAAUUUUCAUUAUGAUCGUUCCGAUGACUCCAGAGGAAAGUGUUCCGAUACCAUUAAUGUCAUGGUAGUUGGCUAUUUAACUUGUGUGCUAUUGUUUGGUGAUAUUGUUUAUGAGAGCUGUGAUCAUUGUUUCUUGUAAUUCAGCACACUCUGUGAUCUACAGACUUUCAUAUCUCGAAAAUAGUUAGUAUCAGUUUUUUGAUAUUUAAUAAAUUAUUAUUUGUGUUUUUAUGACAAAAAGUAUUAUAUAAGAUAUAAGAUUAAUAAGUUAGUUAUAGCUAACACACUUCUGAUUGAAUCUCGACUCAUAUUAAUUACUAACAAUCGAGUUACUUAGUUAAACUGAUAAGUUACUAUUUUAUAUAAUUUAUUUUAGGUUGAUAAUUAUAUUAAAAUAUGACACAGUGUCUUAUUUCUUAUAUACUAGUAUUAAUUCCUCAUGAUAAUAAUUAAUAUUAUGUGCAUACUAAGAAUCUAUCGGCAUGCCAUACUGCACCAAGGAAACAGCCAGAACUAUAACGGAAUAGUAUAAAUUGCUAGAAGAUGAAGCUAGUCCAACGAAAAUAAUUCAAGAGAUAUAACUAUCAAUGAUUGCACAAAAGGAUGUAUGGCAUAGUUGAUCAUUUAAGAUUCGUGAUGGGAGUAUUACAAGUUCCAUUUCUGAUCAUCUCUUCUUGUAUGCAUGAACAUGAAUUUUGUUAAAAUAAUAUUUAUGAAUAAUUUUUUAAGAAUGGUCCUAAUGAUGUUUUGGUUGUAUUUAUAAGAUUUUAAUGUUUAUUAUUUUUACAACAUUUUACUCAUUUAUCAAUAAACAUNUAUAUAUAUAUAUAUAAAAGUACAUGUGAAUAUUAAACAGUGUCUUAUGAAAAAUGUAAUCGGAUCAUUAACACAAUGUCUCCCAAUUUUAGAAGUCUCGUAAUUAUAAAAAUAUUUUUUAAAUAUAAAUUUUUUAAAUGUUUUCAUUUCUCUGUCACAUGUAAAACUUUAUAACUAGAAAAACUUAUGAAUUAACACACAGUUAUAAUUGGUUUAGUAUUAUUUACAAUUUAAUAAAUGAUAGUUGUUUUUAAAUUUUAUUUUUUAUUAAGGACCUUAUUUGUUAAAAGACACGAGUAUUACUUAAAUUUAAUAUUUUUAAUGCAUCAUUUUUCCGGCAAGAAACUCUCUCAUACAUAAAGAUGCAGUUGUUAUUAACAUACAUUGGUUUUCAUUUUUUUAAAUAUUUUUAAUUCAUGAUCCGUCCGACAAGAAAAGUCUCCCAUACAUUAAAGAUGUAGUUGUUAUUAACUUUCAUUGGUUUUUAUUUUUUUAUUGACGUUUUUUUUUUAAAUUUCAAACGGUAUGUUCAGCUUUCAUCAUCUCAGAAAAUAGUCAUAACAGUUUUUUACUAAUAAUAAUUAAAUUAUUAUUUGAUUUUUAUAAAAAAAAUUAUUUAUAAAAAGAGAAUAGUAUAUACUAAAUUGAAACUCAUUUUAUUAAAUAGUUUUAUUUAAAACUGAAAGUACUUGUAAUAUUUAUUUAUUUAUAAAAAAUAAAUUAAAUUCUAUUUUUAUUUCUAUUUAUUCUCAUUUAUAAUUAAUUUAAUAAAUUAUGUGUAUAUAAUUCAAGAUAAUAUUCCAAAAAUAAUAAAGUAGAACUAUCAAUGUUUCACAAAGAUAUUUCAUCUUCAUCAUUUAAAUGAUAAUAUUACAUUCGUUUUCUUUCUCUAUGAUGAACAUGAAUUUUGUUAAAAUAAUAUUUAUGAAUAAUUUUUUAAGAAUGGUCCUAAUGAUUGUUUUUGGUGUAUUUAUAAGAUUUUAAUGUUUAUUAUUUUUUACAACAUUUUAUCAUUUUUAACAUACUAAAAAUUGGGGGAGAAAAGGAUAAAUUUUAUUAAAUACAGUAUAUGAAAAUGCUAAAGAGAAAAAGAGAAACUUACAUGAAUAAAAAUCACUCCAUCUUCAAGAGUCCUGAAAGUAUAUUUGUUUGCAAAGAAGAUAAAAAAAAAGGUAAAUAUAGAGACACAAAGUGAAAGUAAAAGUUGAGAAAAUGAUAGGAAUGGAGAGGCUACUCUAUUUUGAAGUGAGCAUUGCAUUGUAUCCUUAACAUAUAGGUUUGAAAUGUUAUUUCUGUUAUCCUAAGAGUCAAAAAUGGCAUAUUUAAGGGAAUGGUAGGUGCCUAUGAUAUUUAGAAUAGAAUAGAAAAGACAAAAUGCUAGUGAGAGAGGAAUACAAUACCAAAGUGUGAAUUUAUUCCAUUGAAAUUUUCCCAAUAGUUUGAGUGUUUGUUUGAUAAGAUAUAUUGAAUAGGAUAUCCACUAUAAAAGAUGAUUUUGUGAAAAAUAGGUAGGAAAUAGAAAAAUGUGGCAAGAAUGAGAAAUGUUUUAUUUUUAGGUUAAAUAUAAUUGUGUUUUUUUAAAUAUUUGAUAAAAUAAUCUCUUUAAACUAUUUUUUUCUACAAUUUUAGUUUUUUUCAUAGAGUUUUGCAUGUCUCUUUUAAUAUUUCUCACGACUUUAUCUUAGAUAAUGAUAGCGCAUAAAUUAAGGAGAAGGGGAAAUUCGUCCUUUGGAGGGUUUAUCAAUGGAGAAAUAAAAUAAAUAAGUAAUAUAAUUUUAGUGUGUUAGUUCAAAUUCAAAUAGUUAGUUAUUGAAUGAUAUUUAAGUUGUUGUUUAUUAUUUUUUUAGAGGGGUGAGAAGUUUAUUUGGAAUUUACUAGGUCACAGGAAGUUAUCUUCUGAGAGAGCAAACUACUUUUAUAGUAGAUUGUAUUUCCUUUGUUUUAUCAAUGAAAAACCACAAGUUCCUUGCAAUUUUUUAUUUAUUUAUAAUUUUGUUCUACCGGAGCAUUGUUCAUCCUAUCAAAUUGGUUUGAACUAUCGGAUGCCACCGAAGAAGAUGGAGGCCAAAGUGACUGCACUUGAAGAGAAACUCGUAACUCUGGAGGUUUCUUUACAUGAAAUGCAGAAUCAAAAUAAAGACAAUCAUGAGAAGAUCAUCUCUUUAUUAAAUUCAAAUAAGAGGGAUGUGGGAGAAUCACCGCACAAUAAUGGGUCAAUUGAUACCAAAAAGAUUUUUUUUGGCUUACAUGGUAAAGCUUUGCAUAAAUUUCACCUAUCUGUGAAGAAGGUGGAAUUACUGAUGUUUAGUGGUGAUGAUCCCGUUGGUUGGAUUGCUAGGGUGGAAGUCUAUUUCAAUGUGCAUAAUACUACACCUAAAAUCAAAGUGAAUUUGACACAAUUAUGUAUCGACAAUCCUACAAUUCAUUUUUCAAAAGACUGUUGGAGGAGAAUGAAACAUUGACAUGGGAGAAUUUGAAAGAUGCACUUCUUGAGAGGUAUGGUGGUCUAAGUGAUGUGAAUGCAUUUGAGAAUAUUUUUGCGCUUCAACAAGAAAGAACAAUUGAACAAUACAUUGAAGAAAGGUUAGUAGCACAACUGCCCCGAUUACCCAAUGACCAAUAUUUGGGUUAUUUCGUUCAUGGUUUGAAGGGAAAAAUCAGGGGAAAGGUUUGCAACAUGAUUGCUAUGGGUCAUAUGUCAAGAGCAAAGUUAACGAACGUGGCUCGAACAGUAGAAUGUGAAAUCCAAAAAGGGUCAACAUAGUAGAAAAUCGGAAAAACUAAUUGUCCCUUUGUUUUCCAACACUCAGAAGUUAUCAUCAAUGAAAAUGUUGAUACCCUUUUGGGGCAAACCAUGAUAGAGAGAGCCUUUGAAACUUGUCCUAGUAUAUUCACCUCUAAAACUUAGAAACAUAUCAUAAUUCCAUCCAUGUGCGGACUAGGUGUUAUUAAUACGAUUUCAUAAAUGGAGACAAAUAUUUGACUUUGAAGUGCUAACAAAUGUUUCUUUGCCUUUUGAGUUUUAAUGAACUAAUAAAACUAAUUAGAUAUAAUCACAAGUGUCCUAAUCACAAGUGUCUUUUGAGUUUUACAUAUUGACCAAAUACUCUCUCCGUUCCUUUUUAAGUGUCAUUUUUUGACUUUAUACACAUACCAAGAAAGUUAAUCAUUAUUAUUACUUUUUAAACAAUAAUUCUUCUUUUACCUAUAAUACCCUUAACUAUUUAUCAUAUUCAUUUUACUUUUUCUCUCUCUGUAAUAAUUACCUAGGGGUAAUUUUGACAAAAGUGCACUUAAUACUAUCUUGAAAUUUGCAAGUGACAAUUAAAAAGAAAUAAAUUUUUUCAAGAAAGUGACACUUAAAAAGGAACGGAGGGAGUACAAUAAAUUUUUAAUGAAUAAAUAUUAAUAUCUCUUAAAAAAAAUAAGAAAAGUAGUUUGUAUUGUUAUUUAUAAUUUGUACAAGUUGUUUGAUAUUAGAUAUAAUAGAUAGAGGACAAAGUCAAUCGUAAUGAGUUGUGUCUAAAGAAUACAAUAAUAAUGAUAAUAUUAUAAUUCUAUAUUUAUAAAUGAAAAUUGUCAAUCACAUCAAUUAGUGAUGAUUGGUGAUUUUAUUUCCUUUAACAUCCUCUCGCAAGUUGAAGUAUGGAUGUCAAUCACACUCAACUUGCUGAGAUGUGUAUGAAAUACGGGUGAUCGCAGCGGCUUCGCGAGUAUAUCAUAUAUCAGAUUCCCACUUUAUACAUACACUAUCUUGAUUUCUCCUAUUUUGAUUCUCUCACGGACAAUAUGUAAAUCUAAUUCGAUAUGCUUCGUCCUCUCAUGAUAGACGGGAUUUGCAGCGAUGUGUAGAGCUGCUUGAUUGUCACAAAAUCAUCUUGCUGCCUCAGGAUGUGGAACAUAUAAAUCUUUUAACAAGUAUCUUAACCAAGAAUGUUCACAUGUGGUUGCAAUCAUCGAACGAUACUUUGAUUCUGCUAAUAACCGUGAAAUCGUUGCUUGUUUGUUUCUUUUCCAUGAGAUAAGGGACUUUCCAUGAAAUACACAAUAGUCUGUUACAAAACGACGUGUGGUCGAGCAUCUUUCCCAACCGGCAUGACAAUAUCUAACCAAAUUAAGUGAGAUUUCUGAUGUGAAUAAUAACCCUUGUUUUGGAGCUGCUUUCAAGUAUUGGAGAAGUCUAUGUGCAGCCUUCAUGUGAUGUACUUUUGGUUCCUGCAUGAAUUGACUAAUUGUGUUUAAGGAGUAUGUGGUUUCAGACCGAGUAAUUAUGAGGUAGAUUAGUUUCCCAAGUAGCAUGCGAUAACGACUUGGAUCCUUGAGAGCUUCACUUCUAUUUUCUGUCAACACCAACUCAGGUUCCAUGGGGACAAUUGUUGGAUUUGCUCCAAGUAGUCUAGUUUCUUCUAAUAUGUCUAAUUUUUAUUUUCUUUGACAAACCGUUAUUCAUGCCUUGGACCGAACCACUUCAAUUCCUAGAAAGUAUUUGAGCACUACAAGGUCUUUAAUCGUGAAACAACUAUUGAGAAACUUCUUGAGAUCAUUGAUGUUGUCUCAUUGUUCCCAGUAAUGACCAUAUCAUCGACAUAGAGAAGCACCACGGUAAGAGAAUCCCCAUGAACAUGUGUAAAUAGUGAUAAUCAUUCUUUGAUUGUUGAAAGCCAAUUUAUUGAAUUUCACAAGAAAAACGUUGGAACCAACAAUGAGAUGCUUGCUUGAGCCUAUAAAGUGACUUGUGGAAUCGACAAACUACAUUCUCCCCUUGUCGAUAAUAGCUCGGGGGCAUCGUGUAUUCUUCCUCAACAAGAUCCCCGUGAAGAAAUGAAUUUUGCAUGUCCAUUUGGUGUAAAAGCCAAAGUCGAACGACAACAAUGGCUAAUAAGCAACAAAUAGUUACUAAUUUGGCAACCGGUGCAAAUGUAUCCUUAUAAUCAAUGCCUUCACAUUGGGUGAAACAUUUGACGACAAACCGAGCUUUGUGAGGCCCGAUUAUACCAUCAACAUGAUACUUGAUCUUAAAUAUCAGCUUGAAGCUGAUAGGUCAUUGGCCAAGAGGUAGUGGAACCAUGAACCAUGUUUUAUGAAGGAGAAUUGCGGUCCAAAACGCAGCGGAAAUUAAAAUUUCUCCUUUAGAGAUCCUUACGAAUGGUCAUGAUCAGUGAUAGAAUAUUUACCUCUUGUGACGGUUGAAACCUUUGGUGCAGAUGCAUUAAACAUAAGGACACUAUUCUUAAAGUAUCCGUAGUCGAGCUUGUAGUGUGUAGUGGGAUUAAACAUUAAACGAUUAAGACUAUUAUGUUUGUACACUGAUGAUCACAUCUCAUGGAUCAUGGAUAAAGAGUUAUCAAGUCUUAAACAUAGGUAUGAAUAUUAGGAGUAUAUUUAUACCGGAUUGACCCGCUAUGAGAAUACUAUAUAUAAAGUUAUGCAAAGUGUCAUAAGUUAUUCUCAUGGUGAUAAAUGGUGUAUACACACUCUUCGACCUGAAACCACUAUGGACGCCUAGAUGUGGAGUCGAGUGCUUUAUUGCUGAUCCAACGUUGUCCGUAACUGGAUAACCAUAAGAACAGUUGAUGGGUAUCCACGAAGCAUGCUGAGGGACAUGAGUGACCUAGAUGGAAUUUGCCCAUCCUGCAUAACAGGAUAAAUGUCUAUGGGCCCAAUAUUGAACUGGACAAGGAUGACACGGUCUAUGCCUUGUGUUCAAUAUAGACAUAAGGGCAAAAGGGUAAUUAUACACAUAAGUAUUAUCACAGAAGGAAUUGUCAGAAUCACAUGACAUUUUCGUGUCUGGGUAGCAGUGAUGUGUUGCUAGAUACCGCUCACUGUUUAUUAUGUUAAAUGCGUGAUUUAAUAUAAUUGCCAACGUCACGAAAACCUACAGGGUCACAACCAAAGGACGGAUUGAUGAGAGAUAGAGUAACUAAGGAUACCGUAAGGUACGGUGCCUUAAGUGAAUUAUAGAACAUCGUAAGGUACGGUGUACUUGAGUAGAAUACGAAAUAUGGUAAGGUACCAUGGGCUUAAGUGAUUUUGGGCAUAUUAUAAGAUAUGGGCCAAAACACACUUAAGUGGGCUUUUUAGCUUGAAGCCCACACAAGUGGUUCUAUAAAUAGACCCUUGUGCAGAAGCAUUAAUAGCGGUUGCAUUAUUUUCAUUUUCUCUCUCUCUCUCUCUCUUCUCUCUCUCUCUCUCUCUCUCUUCACUCAAAGCCUUCACUCGUACCAGCUAGCACUGAGAUUGAAGGAAUCCGUUCGUGUGGACUGAGUAGAGACGUUGUCAUCGUUCAACGUUCGUGAUGUGCUUCGUGGAUCUGCAUCAAAGGUAUUUGAUCGUCAAAGAGUCUGCACCAAAGGUUUCAAUCGUCACAAGAGGUAAAUAUUCUAUCACUGAUCAUGACCAUUCGUAAGGAUCUCUAAAGGAGAAAAUUUUAAUUUCGCGUGCGUUUUGGACCGCAAUUCUCCUUCAGUGGUAUCAAGAGCCACUUACGAAACCAUGAAUCGGAUAGCUGUUUAAUUUCUGUAUAAUAUGAUAUUAAAAGACAGAAUGAAUCAAUUAAUUAAACGGGUUAAUUAAAUUGGCAUCAUGAGUGUACGAGUUGGAUGAUUGAUGUUGACUAUGCUUCGGUACCGACAUUAGUAUGGUGAAGCAGCGAUACAUCGAUCGUCCAUAUGUUACGCAAUUGAGACCGAUCAACUUAUAUAUGAUAUAGUAAAUCUUAAUGCAAAGUACGGUAUAUGUAUAUUGUUUCUGUUUCGUUCAUUCAAACACUAAAUGGUUCUUUUCCUUUGAGCGAUAAAUGGUCAUUUGCUUCGGAAUCCGACAUUAGUAUGGUGAGGCAAUGACUUGUUGAUCAAUCAUACUGAAUCAACAAUCGAGGUGUGUUUGACGGUCUGAAAUUGGCGCAUUAGGGUUGGGUGACGGCGCAAGGGUUGUGCCGUCAAGGAGUUGUGAAUUUAGGGCUUUUUGGAACAGGUCUGUAGACUGUUUCAAAGUUCCGUUAUUUUGGCCACGUGAAGCUCGUGUGACGAGCGUAACAAGCGUAACAAGCUGGAUGCGUGACGGUCGUACAAAGCCCAUGAUGGUCGUAACAAGGACGUGACGGUCGUCACAUGCCUUGUGACGGUCGUCACAACUCACGAGAUCUCAAAAUUCUAGAGCAUUUCUGUUUCUGGCCGUGACGGUCGUAAAUGCCUGUGACGGUAGUAACAUGCAUGUGACGGUCGUACGUGCACGUGUGACCGGUCGUCACAUCACGGGUCAGAAUUCUUGGGGUUUUUCAGUUUUGUGACUAGCAGAGAGUUGCUGUUGAUGCAAAACAAUGUCCAUUUCAAAUGGAUUGUUCAAUAUAAAAUUUUGGACAGGGGCGCUAUGACCGGGCAGCGGAACCCCCCGGCUAACUCUGCGUAGUGUGAAUCGGUCCGCCGAAGAUUUAAUUUUGUUUUAAUUAAUUAUAAGGAAUUAAAAUAAUUAAAUAUGAAUAUAAUGUAGUGUUGUAAAGUUCGGCAAUUGCCUUGUUUUGUGAUGCUAGUUAUUGGCCUCUCAGUCUUACUUCUAUAUUUGUUUUGCGGUUUUUAUAAUAACGACUGCGGAUCUCGAGCUCUGCACCUUUUGUAAUCUCUUAAAUGUAACUUCUUAUAUUCUCAUCUCAACCCUCGUAUGUAAAACGAGUUCUCUGGAAUGUAAUGGAUUAAUGAGAAAAGAGAAGUAAGACAAUGUUAUGAAGAAAGAGAAGAGUUUCAAUAUCAAAGGAGCGAGAAUCAACCUUGAUAGAUCUUGCUUGGAUAACGCUUAGAGAGAAUUAAUAUUAAAGGAGACAACCUUGAACGUAUCUGCUUGAGGAGAAGCUUAGAUGCGUUAUUAGGAUAUGACUUUAGGUUCUCUUUCAAUUGGCUUCGGGAGAACAAUUGCGCUCCACUGGCCGAUACAGCAUGUUUUCAUUGUGUAUGUAUGUUGAUGGCAUGUGUACUGUAAUGAUUGAUGCAUGUGAAUAUAUGUUGAUGCAUGUGAGAGACGAUUUAUAAUGACAUAAGAUAAGCCGGUGAGAGAAUCAGAACAAAAUGUGCAAUUUCCCUCAACUAAAAUAUUAAGUUUAUGGCUUUCCAAGUCUUAGCACUGCAUCAAGAACUAGUUCGGAUAAUGUAGGUUUUGCCCUACGCGAGAGUGCAUGUUCUAUAUAUUAGUAAAGGUGCGAUGGAUAAUUGUAAUAUCAACUGCUAAGACAAUGGGUAAAACUUAACUAAACAAAUUAUAAUAAUAUUAUACUAAUGUUUUGCUUUCCAAGUUUUAAGCACUCAUCAAGACUGGUAUACGCAAUAAAUGUAGGUUUCGCCUACGGCGAAGGUGCAUGUUUUGUAUUAGUUAAGGUGCGCUGGGAUAAUUGGUAAAUAUCCAACUGCUAAAACAUGAGUCAUAACUUAAUUAUAGAUUUAAUUAUAAUAUGUUUAGAAGCCAGAGUUGGGAAAUGAUCCAUAUGAUCGGAUUGGAUAAGAGAGUUAUUCACACCAACUAAAAUUUUCGAGAGUUGUAUGAGAUACAACUUGGAAAGGUAGUUCCUUACCUAAAAAAACCUAGUUUUGUGUAUCCGCCUUUAACGCGGACCUUAGAACGAAAGUGAAAUAUGGAUCUCGACCCUUUAGAAAAUCUUCCAAACGGGAUUUAUCCGAAUCAAAUUAAUGAGGGUGCAUUUGUUUUGAGUAAAAUAGUGGGAGCAUAUUUGAUUAAAGGCCUAAUUAAAAUAUGUCAUGAUAACUUAAUGAUUUUCUUAAUUCCUUUAUGUAGAUAAGUACAUGACAGCAACCUCUAACAACAUCUUGUAGAUCAUCCUUUGACAAUGGAAUGAAAUAUGUUACUGGUAGCAUAAUCAGUUUCUGGAUUGGCACCGAAACACCUGAGGAAUGUGUCCUCAAUAACAUUGAUAAAAAACGUCUGUAUGUCCUUGGGAACACCUGUUCCUGAAGAGGAAACCUCCUAAGUUCUGCACCUAAGGGCAGAAAAGAUGGCUUAUAAAGAAGCGAUGUGAUGAUGCGAAUGAAACUGGUUGUCUCAUGCUGGCGUACCGAUGGAAACUCAGAAUUCAAAAGCAACAUGAGAACUAAGUCAGCGUCGAUAUGAUCGAAUAUGAAAGAUGCUCUAUGCAAACGAGCAAGCAAGGCAUGAGAAGGUUUGAAGUCAUUUUCAAAGCACAGCCUUUUUCAAGCAAGUUAAGACUGAGGGGGAGCCCCUGUAAAGUCCCAUUGUGCUCAAAAGAUGAUUGUGGUAUGGUGGACAACCUUUGAAAGGUUUGGGUUUUCGCCACCUCGGUAACGAACUUGAGCGACUGUGUGAAUUCUUUGCAAUGCGUGUGCAAGAGUGGAUUCAGCAAUUUGUCCUAAAUUUCAAAUAUGAAGUAAUAUGGACAAAUCUCUUCCUUGAAGCUGCUUCGCCAUGUUAAGAAACUGUCGAGCAAGUAAUCUGAAUCAAAAAGAAGGAAGUCCAUUCCUGAUGAUCGGAACAUGGAAAGAGACAGAACAAAAGGCUCCUCAAUCAGGGUAGAUAAGGAGAAAGUGCAAGGAAGUUGCCAACCCAAAACCCACCCGUUAGCUACCGACUUAAUAAGACCUAGUGGAUCGGCAUAGCAAGAAAUGGCACCUGCUAUUCGAAUGCGGUAAGACCGGACACUGGAAGACCGGAACUGCCGCAAAGUAACCUUCUGGAAAGAUAGAAAGAAUGGAGUAGAGACUUUCAACUUCAGGGUAUAUUUUGUAUUAAAUAAAUUUAUGCUACUCUAGGUAUUAUUAUGGGUAUUAGAUACUGGAUGCGGUUCUCACUUUGUACAAAUGUGCACAGGGGCUGAAAAGGAGUACAGAUUUGGCACAAAGGUGAAGUUGCAUCCUACGAGUUGGCAAAUGGAGCAAAGGGUUGCUACUUUAGCCGUAGGAUCUUAAUGUAUUGAACUUUAUGCCUGAGUGGUUUAAAUAAUUAAGUUAGAGAACUAUUAUUAUGUCCCCCCAAACUGCAUAUUAGCAGGAAUAUUAAAUUCUCUUUCUUGUUUGGACAAGUUUGGUUUUUCAUUUCAUUAAUAAUAGAACAAUUGUUGUCUUCACAUUUUAUUUUGAAAAUGAUAUAUUCUACUGCCUUCUGUACAAAUGAACAAUGGACUAUAUAGUCCUUGGUCUCAUAAUGCCAAACUUAUAAACAUUAAAUACGUAAGAGGAUGGCAACCUACUGAGUUAAAUCGCAUUGAUGAGUCACGCCGAUCUUUCCAAACUCCAUUUGCGGACAUGCACUAUAUGACAGGCAGCUUAACACACUUACCGAUUGGUUCCAUCCAAAAAGGUUGAGAAGACACGAAUAUGAGAUAUGGGAGUGGUAAGAAACCCACAUAGUGUCUUAUCAUGAAUAUUGGGGUUGCGUAAGUUUAUAGUGAAAUGACAAGUUUGUCAACUAGCUUGAGCACCAACAUCUGACAAAUCUUAUUUGUGGGUAAUCCUAAAGAAAGGAGGGUAUUACUUCUACAAUCCUUCUGCAGGGAAAAAAAUUUUGGUCGCUCUAAACUGGAGUUUUCCUAGAAAAGGAUUUUAUUUCCAAAGAACCAGUUGGGAGGAAAGGUAGAGCUUGAGCCGAUUUCAAGAAUCAGCAAAGCAUACAGCACACCUAUGGAGGAAUUGGAGGCAGGAAACACAAGUAAGUAGUUGUGUAAGAGCAACCUAGCUCAAGUAGAAACAAGAGCCAUGCGUAGGUCAGGCAGGAGAGGGAAGGUAACGUGCACCACCUAAGAUAUAUGGAUCAAGGUGAUGUAUUACUCAUGGAUCAGAUGAGCCCUGUGACCUACUCAUGGGCAUCUCGUUUUGAUGAAACAAUAAAAAUCAAUAUGGAUUCAUCAGACGACAGAAUGAGCCUUGUGUCUAAAGAAGGUUAUGGGAGCAUGAUCGUAUUCCUGGUAUUAUAUGUAGAAUGACAUAUUACUCAUUGGAAAACGAUAUCCCUACCCUACAACAAGUAAAGGUCUGGGUGGGGAAUGCUUAUCUAUGAAGGACUAGGUGAAGCAGCCCUAUAUAUUAGGAAUCAAAUCUAUAAGAGAUCGAGAUACAGAUAAAAUGCCUAAAUUGGCCUUAAGCCUCAAGUCAGAGUACAUAGACAAGGUGCUGAGACGCUUUAAUAUGAAUGAUUCCAAUGAUUAUGUGUUUUGCUGAAAUGGUGGCGCUGUGAGCUUGAAAAGUUCAAAGCAAGAUAUAGUUUGCUGAAUCUACAACCGAGGCCGAGUAUAUUGCUGCCUCAAGUGCAGCAAAGGAAGCUGUUUGGAUCAAAAAGUUCAUUAGUGAACUUGGGCAUAGUCCUAGCAUUGUGGAUCCCAUUGGUCUCUUAUUAUGAUAACAAUGGUGCUAUCGGCAUAAGCUAAGGAGCCUGGAUCUCACCGACGAUCCAAACACAUACUUAGGCCGUUAUCAUCUCAUUCAGAGAUAAUAGAUAGAGAGAGAUGUGAAAAUAUGUAAACUACCUACACUUGACAAUAUAGUUGACCCCACUGACCAAAGCCUCUUGCCGCAGGAGAAGCAUGAUGGCCAUACUAGAUCAAUGGGCAUACGGGGUAUGCCUGAUUGGCUUCUAGUGCUAGUGGGAGAUUGUUGGUGUAAGCCCUAGAGGCCAAUACAUUUUGUGGUACUUGUAUCGAAUUAAUAAUAAAAGGCAUUCUCUUUAUUAUGGUUGAUUAGUAAUAGUCCCUGGAAUAGAUAGUCCAGUUUAAUGUAUUAAGUGUGACUUAAUCAUGAGAACACAUUAAACAUAAAGGACAUUAUUCUAAAGCAUCCGUAGUCGAGCUUUUAGUGUGAAGUGGGAUAACAUUAAAGUAUUAAGACUAUUAUGUUUGUAGACUGAUGAUCACAUCUCAUGGAUCAUGGAUAAAGAGUUAUCCAGUCUUAAAUAUAGGUAUGAAUAUUAGGAGUAAUAUUUAUACCGCGGAUUGACCCGCUAUGAGAAUAACUAUAUAGAAAGUUAUGCAAGGUGUCAAAGUUAUUCUCAUGGUGAUAAUAGUGUAUUCCACUCUUCGACCUGAAACCACUAUGGAUCCUAGAUGUAGAGUCGAGUGCUUUAUUGCUGAUCCAACGUUGUCCGUAACUGGAUAACCAUAAAGACAGUUGAUGGGUACUCCCAAAGCAAUGCUGAGGGACAUGAGUGAACCUAGAUGGAAUUUGCCCAUCCUGCAUAACAGGAUAAAUGUCUAUGGGCCCAAUAUUGAACUGGACAAGGAUGACACGGUCUAUGCCUUGUGUUCAAUCAUAGACUAAAGGGCAAAUAGGGUAAUUAUAACACAUAAGUAUUAUCACAGAAGGAAUUGUCAGAUCACAUGACAUUUUCGUGUCUUGGGUAGCAGUGAUGUGUUGCUAGAUACCGCUCACGUGUUUAUUAUGUUAAAAUGCGUGAUUUAUAUAAUUGCCAACGUCACGAAAACCUACAGGGUCCACACAAAGGACGGAUUGAUGAGAGAUAGAGUAACUAGGAAUAUCGUAAGGUACGGUACCCUUAAGUGGAAUUAUAGAACAUCGUAAGGUACGGUGUACUUGAGUAGAAACGAAAUAUGGUAAGGUACCAUGGGCUUAAGUGAAUUUUGGCAUAUUAUAAGAUAUGGGCCAAAAUACACUUAAGUGGGCUUUUUAGCUUGAAGCCCACACAAGUGGUUCUAAAAUAGAACCCUUGUGCAGAAGCACAAAGAGCGGUUGCAUUAUUUUCGUUUUCUAUCACUCUCUCUCUCUCACUCAAGUCUUCACUCGUACCAGCUAGCACUGAGAUUGAAGGAACCGUUCGUGUGGACUGAGUAGAGAGUUGUCAUCGUUCAACGUUCGUGAUCGCUUCGUGGAUUUGCAUCAAAAGGUUUUUGAUUGUCACAAGAGAUCUGCAUCAAAGGUUUCAACCGUCACAAGAGGUAAAUAUUCUAUCACUGAUCAUGACCAUUCUGUAAGGAUCUCUAAGGAGAAAUUUUUAAUUCCGCUGCGCUUUGGGUCGCAAUUCUCCUUCAGUGGUAUGUUGGUGUAAGCCCUAGAGGCCAAUCACUUAUUGGUACUUGUAUCGAAUUAUUUAUUAAUAAUAAAAGGCCUUUUCUUUAGUACGUUUGUUUAGUAAAGUCCCUGGAAUAGAUAGUCCGUUUAAUGUAUAAGUUGACUUAAUCAUAGAAGCACAUUACAAAUAAGGACAUUAUUCUUAAAGUUCCGUAGUCGAGCUUUAAGUGUGAAGUGGGAUAACAUUAAAGCAUUAAGAGCUAUUAUGUUUGUUAGACUGAUGAUCAACAUCUCAUGAGAUCAGGAUAAAGAGUUAUCAAGUCUUAAACAUAGGUAUGAAUAUUAGGAUAAUAUUUAUACCGGAUUGACCGCCUAUGAGAAUACUAUAUAGAAAGUUAUGCAAGGUGUCAUAAAGUUAUUCUCAUGGUGAUGAAUAGUGUAUUCCAUCUUUCGACCUGACACGCACUAUGGAUCCUAGAUGUAGAGUCGAGUGCUUUAUUGCUGAUCAAACGUUGUCCGUAACUGGAUAACCAUAAAGACAGUUGAUGGGUACUCCACAAAGCCAUGCUGAGGGACAUGAGUGUCCUAGAUGGAAUUUUGCCAAUGACUGUGUACAGGGAUAAAUGUCUAUGGGCCAAUAUUGAACUGGACAAGGAUGACACGGUCAUACCUUGUGUUCAAUAUAGACAUAAAGGGCAAAAGGGUAAUUAUACACAUAAUUAUUAUCACAGAUGUUUUGUCAGAUCACAUGACAUUUUCUGUUCUUGGGUAGGCAGUGAUGUGUUAGCUAGAAUCGCUCACUGUUUAUUAUGUUAAAUUAUGAUUUAAUAUAAAGCCAACGGCGCGAAAAACCUACAGGGUCAACACACAAAGGACGGAUUGAUGAGGAUAGAGUAACUAAGGAAUACCGUAAGGUACGGUGCCCUUAAGUUGAAUUAUAGAACAUCGUAAGGUACGGUGUACUUGAGUAGAAUACGAAAUACGGUAAGGUACCAUGGCUAAGUGAUUUUGGGCAUAUUAUAAGAUAUGGGCCAAAAUACACUUAAGUGGGCUUUUAGCUUGAAGCCCACACAAGUGGUUCUAUAAAUAGAACCGCUUGUGAGCGAAGCAAAAGGUUGGCGGUUGCAUUUUUCGUUUUCUCAUUUCUCUCUCUCUCACUCAAAGCCUUCCAUUCGUACCAGCUAGCAUGGAGAUUGAAGAAGCCGUUCGUGUGGACUGAGUAAAGAGGACCGUUGUCAUCGUUCAACGUUCGUCGAUCGCUUCGUGAUCUGGCAUCAAGGGUUUUGAUCGUUACAAGAGAUCUGCACCAAAAGUUUCAACCGUCACAAUAGGUAAAUAUUCUAUCACUGAUCAUGACCAUUCGUAAGAUCUCUAAAGGAGAAAUUUUAAUUUCCGCUGCGUUUUGGACCGGCAAUUCUCCUUCAUAAAACAUAGAGACAUAGGCNUAAGAAUAGUGUCCUUAUGUUUAAUGUGUUCUCAUGAUUAAGUCACACUUAAUACAUUAAAUGGACUAUCUAUUCCAGGGACUUUAUUAAUCAACCAUAAUAAAGAAAAUGCCUUUUAUUAUUAAUAAAUAAUUCGAUACAAGUACCAAAAGAUAUUGGCCUCUAGGGCUUACACCAACAGUCGCAUAAUAAGAAUACGUUGUAGUUUAAUAUCAAAAUCAAGUAGUUGUUAUCGCACAUAAGAGGAGGAGAUUGAAAGUCCAGCUAUAAUGGACGAUCUACCUAUGGCCUGGAGAACCUCCAAUGAUCAUGCCACAAAAUUUAAGCACAACAAUAAUCGGCUGCUACGUAUUCCGCCUCGACGGUUGACAAAGCAAAGGAAACUUGUUUCUUGCUAUGCCAACUUACUAAGGAAUUUAAAAACAUGUGGCAAGUUCCACUAGUACUCUUCCUAUCUAAUUUGCAAUUGGAAAAAUCAAAAUCGUUAUAACUAACGAAAUUAAAUUCGCUUCCCUUAGAAUACCAAAGCUCAUACUUAGAAGUACCAUGAAGAUAUCUAAGAAUGCGUUUUAUGGCUUUUAAAUGAGAUUCCUUAGGAGUCGAUUGAUAAUGAACGCACAUACACACGUUAAACAUAUUAUCCGACCUAGAUGCAGUAAUAUAUAGAAGAGAGCCAAUUGUACCUCUAUACUUCUUGUGAUCAACAUCCUUACCAUUUUCAUUCCUUUCCAAGUGUCCAUUUGUGGGCAUUGGAGUGUCAAUAAAUUUUGCAUCUUCCAUACCAAAUUGCUUUAGCAAGUCGUUGCAAUAUUUGGUUUGACACACGAAUGUCCCUUCGUUGAGUUGCUUAAUUUGAAGACCAAGGAAGUAAUUCAACUCCCCCAUAAGACACAUCUCAAACUUACCGUACAUUAACUUAGAAUAUUUCUUGACUAAUUGCAUGUUAGUGGAACCAAAAAUGAUAUUGUCGACACAAACUAAAAUUCUUUAAAGGAAGCAUAAGAUAUUAAUGGUAUAACAUACAUGUGAAGAUUUUAAAUGAAACACACAAUGGUUAUCACUUAAAUUUUUUGGAAAUGAGCACUCAUAACAUAUAUCAUACACUAAGUAAAUGAUAUACCUUUGAAGAUAUAAACAGGUAAAAGAAAGAACUUCCCUACAAAGCGAAAGUUGAAAAGAUAUUACCUCACCGUUUAAAUGAAGGAGGAUGCACAUGCAUUCCACAAGAAACUCUCAACCAAAAAUUGAAAUAAAUGAAAAAUGUUCUAUACAACCUUUAGACAACAGCGAUCUUAUCACUUUUCUGGAAUUCUCGUGGCGCAAGCAAUGAGGCUUUCUUUAGGGUUUGUAAUACUACAUCAAAACAAAGAAACCUGACUUGUUGGUCAUAAUGGAAACCCGUUCUAACCCUAGAAAACUCAAUUGUAUCCUUGCUCGAUUGGGUUAUAAGGGCUUCGCUUUCUCUAAAGCUAGAGAUUUUGCUGGGGGUAUCGCCAUGGGAUGGAAAUCUGAUAAGCUGCAAGUCCAUGUUUUGAAAUGCCACUUCCAGCUUAUUCACACUCAAAUUAUCGCUGAAGAUGGAAAGGUCAGGCACCUUUCUGCUGUGUAUGCUAGUCUAUUAGAGGAUCGUAAGAAAGAGUUGUGGACUGAGUUGACUGCUAUUGUAAAUUCUAUGACCCCUACCAAUGUCCAGAAUAUUACACUUAUUAAUAUUAGUUUGAGAGAUAUUACAUUUAUGAAUAUCACUGAUAAGGUUCAAACUAAACUUUCUCAUUGGAAACGGUAACUUUGGCUAAGUCUGUGAUAGAGGCAAUUCCCACAUAUACGAUGAUGUUUGUUUCUAUCCCUCAAGAUUGCGUCAAUAAGAUCCGACAAUGUCAAAGAUCCUUUAUAUGGAGUGAUUCUAAUGAUAAGAAACACUUGCAUACCAUCUGUUGGAGUAUCAUUAGUAGAGACAAACAUAAUGAUGGACUUGGUCUUCGGAAAUUGUCUAUUAUGAAUAGAUCUCGUCUUGCCAAGCUGUGUUGGAAUCUGAAAACUAAAGAGCACUUGCUUUAGAGUAGACUCCUGAAAUGUAAAUAUGUUGCUAGGUAACUUGCGAAUGGUGUCUUAAUUGCUAAACCUUUAGAGUGGCCUUGUUGUGGAGUGUUCUUCUUGUGCUUUUGAGUUUUCUGUUUCUGAGUGUUGCGUUCCUUGUACUUGGAUCUAGCUUUGAUAGUUUUACAGAGUUGUGUUCUUUGUUGGACUUUCUGUUUUGUUUGUUGUUUGUUUUCGAGGAAUGUGUAUGUUGAGUUUUCUUUUUUCCUUUACAGCCUCCUUUGCUUCUGUUGUAGUUUUGAUUUGGCAUUUUUUUGACAUCUCUUGUGUCGAAUUUAGGUGUAUGUGCUGUUGUUUGCGGUUGGUUUUGCAAAUUCCAACAGUAUGUUUAGCUUUCAUCAUCUCAGAGAAUAAUCAUAUAACAUAACAUUUGUUUACUAAACAUUUAAAGCAUUAUUUGAUUUUUAUAAAUAGAGAAUUUAAUUUAUAAAAAGAGAAUAGCAUAUAUUAGUUUGAAACUCUUUUUAUUAAAUUUUUAAUUUAAAACUUAAAGUGUUUUUAAUUUUUUACAUAUUAAAGAAAUAUAACACUAAUUAUUUAUUUGAUUUUAAUACAAAGAGAAGUGUGAAAGCAUAAUGAAAAUUAAGGGAAAAGUGAUAAAUUUCAUUAAAUACAGUAUAGGAAAAUGCUAUAAAAGAAAAAGAGAAACUUAAAGUAUGUUUAGUUACAAAGAAGAUAAAAAUAUAAAUGUAGAUAUAGAGACACAAAGAGAAAGUAGAAGUUGAGAGAGUGAUAGGAAUGGAGAGUCUAUUCUAUUUUGAAGUGAGAAUUGUAUUAUUACAUUGUAUCCUUAACAUAUAGAUUUGAAAUAUGGUUAUCCUAAGAGUCAAAAAUGGCAUAAUUAAGGGAAUGUGGAGUGGUUAUAAUAUUUGGAAUAGAAAAGAGAAAAGGCUAUUGAGAGAGGAAUACAAUGCCAAAGUGUAGAGUAGGUUUAUUCCAUUGAAAGUUGAGUACUUGUUUGAUAAGAUAUAUCGAAUACGAGAUCCACUAAAAGAUAGGAAAUAGGAAAGUGUGGCUGUUGGAAUAUUUUAGAUUUAUCUUUUAUCUUCAUUCACAUAAAAUUUACACCUAAAUUCAAAUAAUCUUAUCAAAUUUUCAAGAUAAAAUUAAAUAUCUAUUUUUUUAAAAUUUUGGAUAGUUUAAAUUUUAGAAUUAUUUUUAUUGAUUAUAAAAUUAUUUAUUUAAAGAAUGAAUUGGUGUAUAUGUAAAUUAGUUGUUGUAAUAUUUUUUGAAUAUACCUAUUUAAUAUUUAAUUUGAUUUAAAACUAAAUAUUUAGCCGAUAAUAAUGUUUGAAUUUAUUGUUAUUAAGGUAAUGCACUAUUUAUUUUAACGGUAUGGUUUGGUUAUAUACCUUUUAUAUAUAUAUAGUUAUAUAAUAUAUUAUAUAUAUAUAUAUAUAUAUAUAUACUAUAUAUAUAUAUAUAUAUAUAUAAUUAUAUAAUAUAUAUAAUAUAUUAUAAUAUAUAUAUAUUAUAUAUAUAUAUUAUAUAUUAUAUAUAUAUAUAUAUAUAUAUAUAAAAUUGUGUUUUAUUGUAAGUUUCUUCUCACCUUAAGGACACGAUAAAUUUUAUGAUAAUCGUUACGGUUGAAAAUAGAUAGAGUCGUCAUCAUUUUUAUUUGUUUUUUAAGGAACGGAAAAAUAAUAAUAAAAUCUAUUGAUUAAGAGUGAGAACCUAAAUUUGGAAGUCGAUUGAGUGAGAGAAAGAUAUUAAGCACCACUCACCAUUAUUGUAUUCAAUGUAAUCCUCCUCUAAAUUCUAGGUAGUUAUGAUUGCUUAAGGAUAUUUGCUUUAGUUAAUUAUUUACUCAUAAAAAAAAUAUUUUAUUAUUAAGAAAGAAAAUUUAUUAAAAGGAGAAGAUCUAAAAAUAUUUUUUUGAUUAUUGUCUUCGCUAGAGUUACAACAACUCUAUGCUUACGUACUUUCACUUUAUAAAAGUAUUAGAGCACCAUAGUUUUUUGUAGAAAAUAUUUGUUUGUUUUGUUGUUUUUAUCCUUUGAAAUUUUCCACCCAUCAGAACGGAGAAAUGAUUGAUUUUUAAAAUGCAUCAAUACACUAGGAUAUAAGACUUACGUUUUGAAGUGUUUGCAUUUAUUUUCUCUUCAUUAUUUGAAAAAAAUAUAACAUAUUAAUUUGAUCUAAGAAAAUAAACCCAUGAUAAUAUAUAUUAAAUAUAAAAAGGUUUAAUUAUAUAGAAUAAAUAUCCUAUCCCUUAUAGCUAACCUUUAUCCAUAAUAUUUUUUUCCUGAAUUCUAAAAAUUUAUCCCUAUUUAUGUUUUAAAAAAUCAUUCCAAAGUUAUUCCACAUAUUAACCUUAUCUCUUAUAUUAUUAUUUUUUAUUUUUUAUUUUAUAUUGAUUAACCCUAAUAUAAUAUCAAAUAUAUAUAUAUAUAUAUAUAUAUAUAUUAUAUAUAUAAUAUAUAUUAGUAUAUACAUAUGUGUGUGUGUGUGUGUUUUUUGUAUUUUUAAGAUUUUUAUUUUUAUUAUCUUUCUUUUAAUAUUAUUUUUGUAUUUGAUGAUUUAUUAUCUUUAAUAUUUUGUAACGAAUAUAUCUUUCUUUAAAAAAUUAAAACAAACAAAAAAUAUACGUAAAUAAAAGGUUUAAAUGGCUCAAUCGGCCGAAUGAAUGUGAAACAAUUAUAAAAUAAAACAAUAAUAAAACGUGAAUGAUAGAAUUGGAGAUUUAGGUUUUUUUGUUGUUGUUAUUUCACCGUAUUAACCUUUUAUAAUACAACUUCAAAGUGAGAUUCCAUGUACCCAUACAUGGCUAUAGAACUUUCCCAUACAUGACUCUUAAAGAUAUACGAGAUGCUUCCAUUCGCAAUACAUGGCUAUAGAACUUCCGUCUGCACUUCAACAGGAGCAACUCUUUUUUAUCUAGUAUAUGAUACCGAAGUCGUACUCCCUAUUGAAGUCGAGAUCCCCUCUUUAAGAGUCUUGAUGGAUAGACGAGGCAAAAUCGAUACAAACGAGGUUCGAUCAAUUAAACCUCAUAAAAGAGAAGCGCAUGGUUGCGGUAUGUCACGGGUAACUAUAUAAGCGAAGGCUCAAGAAAGUCUGUCCUCGACAUUUAAAAGAAGAUGAUCUAAAGCUCAAAAUAAUUCUACCCAUCCAUAAAUAUCCCCGUGGAAAAUGGACCUCGAACUACGAAGGACCAUACAUCAUGAAAAAGGUCUUCUCUGGCGGAGCCUUGAUUCUCACAAUCAUGGAUGGAGCAAAGUUACCAUGAUCUAUAAACUCCGACGCAGUCAAGAAAUAUUAUGCCUAGAAAAAAAGGAUAAAAAGUCCUCUAAGUCGAAAACCCUAAAGGGCAACUUAGGCAAAAAUUAGGACGUCCCGGUAGAUUGAAAACUUGAAAGAGCAAUCUGGGAAAAACUUAGGGACUUGUAUAAAAAAUAAAAUCCGAUAAGUCGAAAACUCAAAAGGGAGGCUUAUGCAAAAUAAGGUAUAUCUUCCCGGCGGACUAAGACUUGAAAAGACCGGAUCCAUGAAAAAAUUAUGGAUAUCCAAAAGGCAUGUGAACGCAUCACUUGUUUAAUCCUACAACAGGAAUUCAUAUGGGAGUAAUCAAUUCAAUCAUCGCCAUCAGAAGCAAAGUAUUGUGACCUCGAAGUCAUAGGAAUAAUAACAUGUGUUGGAUUCAAUAGGGAUAAGAAUAAAUCUGUUUUUCAUUGCCAUUUUACUUCUUUUUAGAUUUUUGCUAAUCUCUUUGUACGAGAAUUACAUCUUUAUGUACUAUUACCCAUUUACGGGCCAUAUCUCAAAAAAUAAAAUUUGUUUUUUGAAUCCCCUUCUUUGUUUUUCAGUUUUCCUGAUUGAUUAUAAAAUAUCAAUUAUUUGUGAAUAAUGCACUAAAACGCCGGGCAUAAUAAAAAAAGGCUUUUAAGAGAAAGCAUAUUUUACAUCGAUUUUGAAAAUGUCAAAAGGAUCAUAUUCUUCCAACAUUGCCUCUCAAGCAAAACACGGGGUCCAUAAAUCAACAGUCACGAUUUAACCAACAUGAGAGCUUAUCCAUUUUCAAAAGCAUAUUGCAUAUUCCCAGAUAUCAAGAGCGCCAUAGCCUGUUCCAUGGACAUAUCAAAAUCUCAAAGGUCGAAGAGUCGAAACGUCACAAAAAAACCGGAUCUCCUAAAGAUAUUUCAUACACACAUCAUAAAAGAGGCGUUAGCCCAAACACCGCAUCAUGCAAAACAUACAUGAAUUCAAAAUAUGCAUACACAUGAACAUGCAUACAUAAUACAUGGCAUAAAAUUUAUGACCACUCUUAGAGGUUCAAUACCCAAUUAUACCAAUACAUUUCCCCAAGCAGGAAUUCAUAUUGGCCUUCCCUAGCAAGUAGCACUAACACAAACAUCUUUUCAAUAAAGGGCCCCCCCAGCAAGCUCGCUCGCUAUGAGUCUUUUAAAGGAAUCUAUACAGUAGUCGGUCAUCCUAAAUUAUCAUUAUCAAUCAGUGAGCAGGUCUUCACCUCUCACACCCCCUAGCUCAGUAACAUAUCCCACAUGCGGGAGACGUUCCAACACACCAGAGUUUUAUCAAUGUAAAGGGUUCUAUUAAGGGAUUAUGUCAAUGGAUGUUAUCAAGGGGUUUAUCAAGGUUUUUAUCAAGGAUUUUUAUCAAGGAGUUUAUCAAGACUUUUUGUCAAGGAAUUUUAUCAAGGGGUUCCAUCAUGAGUGAUCAAGGUAUCACUAAGGUCCUACACGAUUUCAAACCAUGAAAGUUAUAUGCAAAUCUCACACUGAGAGGUUGAGACUAUCAGGGGUUCAUCAGGGGUUUCACAAGGGGUUCCAACGAGAGUUUCGUUAAGAGAUCUUCUCAGGAUUUUAACUCAAGUUUUUCAUCGGAGUUUAUCAGAGGGGUUUCAUCAGGUUUCCAUCUAGGGUUUUAUCAAAGGGAUUCUACCAAGGUUUCAUCAAACAACGACCAGAGAAUCAUCAAAGUCCCGCCCAAUUCCCUUAAUAUGAACGGAUGAUCAUGGAAAUCAUACACAAUUUUCACCCAUACAUGCUGAAAUUAACCAACAACGCAACACUAAGGUUCCACCAUAGGAUGGUUUGGAUGCUAACUGAGACAAUAAUUAUUCAGUCCUUGCUCACUUCAGGUCUGCUAACUCCAUGGUCAAAAUUAUGGUUCCUCUAUAUAUUUAAUUAUCUUCUCCCCGAGAAGAUGAAGACUCAUCAUCAUCAUCUCGAUAUGAAGCUAGUUAAAUAGAGACAACUGUCGUACCCCAAAUUUUGAUCACCAUUCAUAUGUUUUCUAGUGCCACCUUAUUUCAAAUAAAUGAAAUGACACAAUGGGUAUGAGAACAUGGGUAGGGAGAGCGAUCAGAUGGUCCCGGGUUCGAGUCUCGACUUUCAUUUUGUUUUAGCAUAUUAUUCUUUAAAAAAAGAAAAUAAAUAAAUUGCAUUUAAAAAAAAAUAUUUUUAAAUUUUUUUAAAAUUAAAUACUAUUUUAUGCAUUUAUAAAAAGAGAAAACAAAAAAUAUAUAUAUAUAUAUGGUAUUAAUACCACUUAUAAGUGGUGUCAAAAUAAAAAUCAAAUUUAAUUAACAUAUUAUUCUUUGGAGUCAAUUGUAUUUUGAAAGAACAUAAUGGCUUAUUUGGUAGAUAAGCAUGUCUAAGAGUUGUAAGGGGAAGGUCUUAAGUUCACAUCUCACACUUGUCGCUUUUACAAUUGUUCUCUUUUUUAUGUUUUACCUUUAAUCCUAUCAUCUUAAAAUCAAAUUUUUUUAUACUUUUUAAUUUUUCGAAUUUUAUUUAAUUUAUCAUUAUUAUAUUAUUUAUUUAAUAUAUUUUUUAAUCUAAAAAACAAAAAUCAAUCAAGAUACAACUAAAGAAAAAAUAUUCAAAAUCUUUUCUUGUUAUUACUUUCUUAAGUUUAUUUUUAUCACCCUUUUUUAUUAGUAUUAAUUUACUGUGAUUAUUAUCACUUUAAUAUUAGAAUAUUAUUAUUAUUUAAGAAAAAAAUAAAAAUAAAAAAUAAAAAGAAUCAGAGAUUUUUCACGUAUUAUUCCUCAAUCCAGUAUCAGAGAUUCUCAAAGUCCCAAAAUAUUCAAAUCUUCCUUCAACAUGUGAUUCAAAGUCAAGGGGAAAAACUUAUCUCUUUCUAAAACAAAGAACAUACAACAAUCAAACAAAAUCUUCAUCAACAUUCAUAUAAUGUUUUCGACUUUCAAAAUCAUUGAAUUUGUCUCACACAAAAAAUGGAAAAAGAAUUGUAUGCAUUAACUAGAAAAAAUCAAGACUUUAAUAUAAUAUUUUCUUAAAACUACAAUAUAAAAUGAGGUAUAAACUGUGCAAUAAGGGAGGAAGAAAACUUUUGAUAAGAAAAUCUGUAAGGAAUUCGUGUAACAGAGAAAACAAACUCAAACCAUCAACACCCAACAACAAAAUAUCCUAAUACCAAAUUGGAAAUCGCUGUGCCACCACAUGCAAUCGGAGUUGCAUUGUCCAACCGCCGCAACAAGCAUUUGUCGCUCCAUCGUACCCAUUAUAGAACCACCACGUGCUGCCCCUCUUAAAGCCCAGAUCCACCGCUACUGUCGGAAGGAAAGGUACCAAAUCCAUUAUUUUUUGUGUUGUUUUUCUUUGCAUGAAUCUGGGAAGGGUGAUGAGUUUUUAAUUUUUCGAAUUUUAUUUAAUUUGUCAUUAUUAUAUUAUUUAUUUAAUAUAUUUUUUAAUCUAAAAAACAAAAAUCGAUCAAGAUACAACUAAAGAAAAAAUAUUCAAAAUCUUUUCUUAUUAUUACUUUCUUAAGUUUAUUUUUAUCACCCCUUUUUAUUAGUAUUAUUUUACUGUGAUUAUUAUCACUUUAAUAUUAGAUAUUAUUAUUAUUUAAGAAAAAAAUAAAAAUAAAAAAUAAAAAGAAUCAGAGAUUUUUCACGUAUUAUUCCUCAAUCCAGUAUCAGAGAUUCUCAAAGUCCCAAAAUAUUCAAAUCUUCCUUUAACAUGUGAUUCAAAGUCAAGGGGAAAAAUUAUCUCUUUCUAAAACAAAGAACAUACAACAAUCAAACAAAAUCUUCAUCAACAUUCAUAUAAUGUUUCCGACUUUCAAAAUCAUUGAAUUUGUCUCACAAAAAAAAUGGAAAAAGAAUUGUAUGCAUUAACUAGAAAAAAUCAAGACUUUAAUAUAAUAUUUUCUUAAAACUACAAUAUAAAAUGAGGUAUAAACUGUGCAAUAAGGGAGGAAGAAAAUUUUUGAUAAGAAAAACCGCAAGGAAUUCGUGUAACAGAGAAAACAAACUCAAACCAUCAACACCCAACAACAAAAUAUCCUAAUACCAAAUUGGAAAUCGUCGUGCCACCACAUGCAAUCGGAGUUGCACCGUCUAACCGCCGCAACAAGAAUUUGUCGCUCCAUCGUACCCAUUAUAGAACCACCAUGUGCUGCCCCUCUUACAGCCCAGAUCCACCGCUACUGUCGAAAGGAAAGGUACCAAUCCAUUAUUUUUUGUGUUGUUUUUCUUUGCGUGAAUCUGGGAAGGGUGAUGAGUUUUUUUUUGAAGUUGUUGUUCUUGGAGAGAGAAGAGAUCGAUUGUUGAAUGAAGGGGAAAAGGUUUUUUUAAACACUUACUAAUGCUUUCACGUUUUGAAAUUGAGUUAUUUUUCCUUUACUGUGUUUGAAAAAUUCUAAUAAAUCUAAUGAUUUAAUUUAUGUUUACUUUUUUUUGAAACGAUGAAACUAGGUUUUCCUUUAAAAAAAUAUGUAUAGAAUAUUUAUUUAGGAAAAAUGGUUAAUUGUGUGGAUGGAAAUAUGGGUACGUGGAAUCUUUCAUUCGCAAUACAUGGCUAUAAAAUCCCAAAGCUCAUAUAUCUUCAAGGUACAAUCAAUAUAGGGAAACCACGUCGUGAUUCUAUAAAUCUCUCUGAAUCAGACGGACAUGGGCAAAGUUACUUCGAGGCUCAUAUUGGGCCAGGUCACCUCAAGAGAAUGAGAAGUCAAUCACUACCAAGAAUGGUUAAUCAAAAGAAUACAAUUUCAAGACGCUGGGGCAAGGCAGUUUAAGAUCUUCAAAUGAUGAGACUACUCCAUAACAUGUAACUAGGGCAAUUUGUGCAGAUACUCAGAAGAUUGAGGUAGAGCUAGGCUACACAGGUACAAGCUCUCUCCGUGUUCCAUACAUAGUUCAGAGAUGUGACAACGAUUGUGGAACUUGAAGUAGGUGUCAGAUAAUAACGUCUUGAUGACCUUAUCCUAGCCCAAAAAUUCCCACCUCCCUUUAUAUGAGCAUUUGUCUAAACCAUUGCAUAAAUCAUCAUCAUGUAUUAAUCAUGUUGCUUCACUUAUGCAUAUCAUUCAUCUAGCAUAGAAUUAAGCCAUGUGUGCAAAUUUGGAGAAUCAAAUCCCAUUAUUUUAUUGGCACCUUCAAAUCCCAAACUUGCUUGGUACCUUUUAAAACCAGUUGGUUUGGCACUUUCUUCAAAAUCCAACCUGCUUGGCAUAUUUUAAAGCCUAGUUUGAUUGGUAUCUUUUUCCCAAUCUUCACGAUUUGGUAAUCUUUUGUUUCCAACAUUCAUGGUUGAUGAACCUUCUUCAACCUUCAUGGUUGAUAACCUUUUAUUUCCAUCUUUCAUGGUUGAUAACCUUUUGUUUCCAACUUUCAUGCUUAAUGAACCUUUUUCAACCCUCAUGGUGUCAUACCCUAAUUUUUAACUCUAAGAUCCCACAUAUCAUUUACAUCUUUUUUACAUAAACAAAGUCACCUCUUGGUCCCUCUCCCUCUCAUCUUUGGGUUUUGCUUUUGCAGGGAUCAUCAAACACCUCUUUGUUGGUGUUUUACCUUUGUGAUUACAUGAUUAAUUUCUUAUCUAACCACUAAUCAAAAUAGAAAAAAUAUGUUUUAUUUUCCUUAAGUUUAUUUGGCAAGGUAGGGCUUUUCAAUCAAUAACAUCUCAAGGUUUUGUGGCUUACUUCUCAAAGAAAGUCAAAGGUUGGUGUGUUUAUUUACAUGCCUUAUUCAACAAUCAACUUCAAGAUUUGAGCAAUUUAAUAAAUAGGAAAUAAAGGACACCUUAUUUUGAGUUCAUAUGAUCACCCUUGUGCAUUGAAAUGAAAGAAAAGUCCAAGUACACAAGCUUGUUCCAAGAGAUUUGACCAAAAGUCAACCAUUUGAAGUCAAAGUUCCAAAGAUCACAACCCCUUAAAUUCUUAAACUUUUUGAAUGUUUCUUUUUGCAUAUGACUUUUCUCAACAUCCUAUACAACUUCUAUUUAAAUUACAAAACCCAAUUAUGCUUGGAGGAUCAUCAAAGGUUUGGAGACAUUAUAUGUCAUUUAUGGACUUAGAGAAAUUUGACAUAUUUUCAAGUGACUUUUCCCCAACUUUCAAAGAUGAUAACUUCUUCAAUUUUCAACAUUUGAGGAUGAUUAUUUUUUCAAAAUGCCAUUUGUGAUAGCCUCUACAGGUUUUCUUCAAGGACCAAGGUCAGAAUAUGCUUGGAAGGCCAUGGAAUUCAUUGAGACAUUACAAGUCAUUUUCAGCCAUGAAGCACUCAAAUUUUUCUAAGUUAUAUGAUCAGUUUUUCAUGCCAAAUUCAACAUGUCAUAACUUUGUGCUCAAGCAUCCAAAUUCAACCUUUCUUGGCUCAUUGUAAUAUUGGCUAUGAUGUUAACAUAUUGCAAAAAGAAUGAGGUUAAAAAGCUUCCUGAGUAGGGUUCCCCAUUGAGUUGAACAUGGUGACUUGUAACUGAAGAAAUUGCCAUUGUCCGAGUUUUGAACUUCGCUAAUCUUAAUUCCAAGCCAAAUUAUCAUGUUUUUUGGACCUAAUCAUGUUUAACCAAGUUUCCAAAAGUUAAUUGACCCUUAAAACGCAUCAUUUGGCCGAGUUUUGAUGAGUUUCAAGUCACACUUUUCACACACUCGGAUCAAAUUCAUUUUGCACGAAUUCUGCAUCAUCUCACACGUAUUUGGAUCCAAUCACAUUCCCUAUAAAUAUGGGAAGCUAUUGCAUUCAUUUCCAAGCUUUUGAGAUCCAAGAAAUCUCUGUUGCAACUUGAAUUUUUUCUAGAAAAUUUAACUAUCGUGUUUUGAGUUUCAGCUUGUUUCAAUCCAAUUUCUUGAUUCCAUUAGCACCUUCAGCAUCCUCUGAAAAUUUUGAAACAAUUCCCAAGCUCUGAGACCUUCUGAAGUGCUCUAGCCAGAUCAAGUUUUAUCAUCUUUUGAUCGUCAUUUGGACAAGGUAGUUAUGAGCAUCAUUUGAACUCAAACAAGUUACCACAAUGUAGUCCUUCACUCUUUGAUGAUUUCCCCUAACUUAUCUGGUGUUGAUUGAUCAUGUUUAUCAUUUAAUUUUAUUUUUCGUGGCUUGCUUGUUUCUGAAACUUCUUUGAAAUUCCCUUUGCUCAGUUUAUAUAAAUGAAUUUGGAGCAUAAGGUUGAAUUCAGGAUGAGAAGAAGAUCACAAUGGUGGUGGUCUCGGGUAUUAAAUUUACCAAACGAUGAAACUCCAGUGAGAUCUCACCGGAUAAAACAACCGGAGUUUUCUCAGAUUGUCUGAGUUUGAUCACACACGUUAGAGGAACGAAAUGUUUUGAUUGCAACGCGUUCCAUCGUGUUCUCUAACAUAUGGAGUGUUGGAUCUGCCAUGUCAGUUAUUGAGGCGUGAUCCAAUGCUCUGUGUUUUUUCUGAUUUUAAUUAAUUUUCUUUUAUUAUUUUUAAUUGCUUUUUUAAAAAAAUCAUAGUAAUUUCAUUUUUUAUCCAAAAAUUUCCAAAAUAAUUUCUGAAAUUCUCUUUUUUUUUUCUUCAUCUGAUUUUUAUUUUUCCAUAUUAUAUUUCACUGAUUUUCUAUUUUUCAUGAAUUUUCUCUUUUCUACUUUGUUUUAGUUAGUUUAAAAAUACUUUUCUGCAUUUUUAAAUUCUGAAAAAAAUUAUUAUAUGCUUCUUAUUUUAUUUCCAACCAUCCAUAAUUUUCUUGGUCAUUUAUUUGGUGUUUUGAAGGACUUUAUGGAUUUUCCAUUUUAUUUCAAUUUUAAAAUUCGUUUAAAAUUACUUUUGGUGCAUUUUUGUUUCAUUUAAUUACAUUUUAUAUUUGUGUGAUCUUGUGAACUUUUGUUGGCCUUGGAUCAUGAUAGUUUGGACUUCAAGUCUCAUCAAACUCAAUGGACUUUGGAUGUUGAUGGGAUGAAAACCAUAAUCCACCAAAAUGGAUGAUUGAUUUUGAUGAUGAUUUGAUCAAACUUUUUGUCCAAUUUGGGUGUGACUUCCCUUGUUUCUUUCUUCUUCAUCUCCUUCUUUUUCCUUUGAUCAAUUGGAUGGCUUGUGACCAUCUUGUUCAUGAUGUAUGGAUUGGUACUUGAUGAACUUUCAUCAUUUCAAAUUUAUCUCCUAAUUGAUCAUGGAUUAUUUAAGGUACUUUGGAUUGAUGAAUAAGUUUAUCCUAAGUGUCAUGAAGUGUGGAUUAAAGUAAUGGACCUUCCUCCUAGCCUUUGUGCUUGAUCAUUCCCUCUUUCCUUUUUUUUGUGGCAUGGCUUUAGGAGAAUUAUUUACACAUCAUUUCUCUAGCAUGUAUUAACACAAAUAUUAUCAUUGACCAGCCUUAGAUAGUUGUGACUUCUAUAUAGGUCCAAUUACGAUUUCUUAACAUAACGCUAAAUUUGUCCAAAGGAAAGCAAAGGCAUUUUUAUAAGUGAGAUUGUAAGUCUCCUAUUCCUCAUGGUAUUGUAUGAAAAUUUUGCUCAUUUUCCAUUUUGUGAGAUCUAGUGGCAUACUUAUUGAUUUUACCCAAGUUGGAGUCAUUCUCAUAAAUGAUGUAUACGUUCAUAUUUCCAUGCUUGUGAGUGGAUAAUUGAGCGUUCUCCGAAAAAUGAUCAAACCAUCUUUCAUCUUUGCUUACUAACAUCUUUUACUAACACUUUACUUGUAUUUCCAAGUCAUUUACUUUAUGCUCCUUUAUUUUAUGUUAUUUACUUUAUACUUUAUAUUUAGCAUUCUAUAUGAUAUUGUUUAUGAUUUUUAUUCAUUUGUUCUUUGUCCAUUUGGAUUUUUCUUUUAUAUCAUUCUAAAGAAGACAUUAAUAAAUAAAAACCUAGAUUUUCCUCCCUAGAUUUUACUUUAUAAUUUAGGGUAGUCUCUUCUUCUCCUCCUCCCCCUUCUUUAACUUUCAAAAUCUUCUCUUUUUUUUAAACCUUCUUAUUUUUUAAGUUGGACCACUUUCUCAAUAAACCUUGACUUUUGUCAAGUGAUUUUCAAAACCUUUUUCCUAAAUAAAUGUUAAUCCAUCUUAAGCAUAUUUAGACCAAUUUCAAAAGACUAAAAAAUGCAAAAUUCAUUCAAAUCAUUUGUGCCUUUGUGCACUUUUCAUUUUAAAGCUUUUCUCAAGGUAUUAAACACGAGUCAUUUCUAUAGUUGAGAUAUAAUUCUCCGAUCCCCAUAGUAUUGAUGACAAUUCUUUUCCAUUUGUGAGAGCUAGUGGCAUAAUUGUUGAUCCUUAUCCAAGUUGGAGCCCUUCUCACGAUGAUGCAAAGUACUCAUACUUGUGGGUGACUAGUUGAGUAUUCUCCUUAAAAUGACAAAAUGUAUUUUCCAUAAAAAUGAAUAAAAAAAACUCCUUUGUUAUUUUUACCAUGAACUACGAGGUUUUUAUCCUCCAUUUCACUUUGUUGGCACGUAGGCAUGAGACUUCAAAAGUCUUGGCAAACACAAAAAUAAGAAAAAGUAUACUUCUUUACCUAUCUCUCCAAUCUCUUACAAACAUCACCCUUUUCAAACCAAAAUGUAUACAUUUUCAAAGAGGUUCCAAUGGAAUACCAUGGAUGUUUAGGGUGCUAAUACAUUCCCUUUGCAUAACCAACCCCCAGACCCUUAUCUCUUUUCAUUAGUUUUGUUUUAAAACUUCUUUGGGUUUUGUUCUUACCUUUUCCCUUUUCCUUUGGAAAUAAUAAAAGCGCGGUGGAAACUCUUGCUUUAUGAGUUAAGUUAAUCAAUAGCUUAAUCUUAAAAUUCUUACCGCUACAGGAAAGUGGCGACUCUGCUGCGGAGUAGUCCCUAGUGGGUUAAGCCCAUCUUUGUUUUUGUGCAGAUAUUAUGGUUGUUGUUGUUUGUUAUUAUUGGUUAUGUCUGGUGCUUAGUGAUCUCUGUGUGGUGAGAUAAGUCAUAUACCCGAACUUGAGAGCUCUUAUGAUAGAAGGGUGGUAUAGUCAUGUUUGGCUUACGUUAAGUUAAUCCUUAAUAAGUUGACUUGAGAUCUCCCGCUCAGUGGAGGCCCCUUUGGGAUUACUGAUGUCACACAAGUAGCCGUAGUUGGCAUUACUUUUUCCGACCAGGAACCCGAGAAGCCGAGGACCUUAGAACCCUUAACCCAUAUUGGCCUUUUAGAACGUAGUGCGAUGGAUAUUCAAGUGUAGACUUGAAUUAGUUGUUACGCGAUACUACACUCGAACGAGUUUCUUUUGAGAAUAUUAUUGGUUGACGAGUAGUCUUUUAAGCCGGUAAUAUCCAAAAGAUGGAAUUACGACUCUGGGAACUUUUUAGAACCUUGUUCUACAUGUCAUUAUACCCUUAGUACAUACAUUGUGGGUUGGUUCUUACCCUUUGCUCCAUGCUCGUGACUCUGAACCUUUGGACCUUGUUUGCGUGUCUUUUGUGAUAUUGUUUGUGGUUGUAUGCACUCAUGGAAUUCAUAAGAAUUUUUCUCAAUUUUCAAGGAACUUAGAGACUCUUUUUGCAAACAUCACAGAUAUUUUGAUCAUGGAUAUUGGAAGGAGGAAUACUCAGAAGUACAGUUCCAGAUGUCCCGAUCUUAUGGAAUUAAAGAAGCUAGCAUCUUUUGUGGAUGAUCAUAAGGGUUUCAGAGAUUGUUUUAGAAGGUUUUUAUAUGUUCUAUCUACUGAUGUUGAGGAUGGUCGUCUUUGUACUUUGGUUCAGUUCUAUGAUCCUGUUUACCGAUGCUUCACUUUCCCCUAUUAUCAGUUGUUUCCUACCAUGGAGGAGUAUGCUCAUUUUUUGGGUAUGCCAGUUUCUAAUAGAGUUCCUUUUAGUGGGGUAGAAGGAGUCCUGGAAUCUCAAGUUAUUGCUAAAGCUAUUCACUUGAGGAAGUCUGACAAAGAUGUCAGUCUCACUGUCAAAGGAGGUAUCAGAGGGUUGUCUUCUAAGUUUCUGAUUGGGAAAGCUUUUUCUUUUGCCAAUGCUAAUAGAAUGGUGGCCUUUGAAACUAUUCUAGCCUUACUCAUCUAUGGUUUGGUCUUGUUUCCCAACAUUUAAAACUUCGUUGAUGUUAACACUAUGAGGAUCUUCUUGAUUAGGAAUUUGGUUCCAACUCUGCUCGGUGAUACCUAUCUAUUCAUUCAUCAUAGGACUUCUAAAGGGGGUGGCAUUAUUGUCUGUUGUGCGCCUUUAAUGUACAAGUGGUUUAUUUCGCACUUGCCGCAGUCUCCUAUCUUCAAAGAAAAUAAGGAUUGUUUAAGGUGGUCCCAAAGACUUAUGUCUCUCACCAAUGAUGACAUAACUUGGUAUUCUUACGUUUACGACGACGUUGAUAUUAUUGAUAGUUGUAGGGAGUUCUCUAAUGUGCCUCUUCUUGGUACACAAUGAGGAAUCAACUACGAUUCGGGUCUGGCAAGACAUCAACUUGGGUUCGUCAUGAAGGACAAACCUAAUAACACUUUGUUAUAAGGUUUAUUUUUCCCGGAAGGGAAAUACACCCAAGGGUUGAAAGCUAGAGUGAUAUGUGUUUGGCACAAUGUUAAUAGGAAAGGAAAAUGUGAGAUUGGUAUGAAGAAAUGGAUAGAUUUGGAUCCUUACAAUAGUUGGGGGAAGAAGAGAGCAAAGGAAUUCAAGAUGCCAUACGCUUAUGAAAGACCUAUGUCCUUAGUAAUGGUCAAAUCGCGCACUAUUAAAGGCAUAGAGGAGUUGAAAGAGGAUUUGGACAGGAUGAAGCAAGAGAGGGAUGAUUGGGAGGAUAAAUUUCACACCUUACACCUUGAGAAAGUAGAAUUGCAGAAGCACCUAAAGGAGAAGGAUGACUUGAUAGAAUUGCUCGAGCAACAUGCUGUGAAGAGAUCAAGGAACCAAAAGGAUUUAUUUUCCUCUAACAGUUCAUCAUCUACUCUUCUCCCCGAUUCUGAUGUUUGGAAAGGCAUUAUAGAUCAACUCGUAAUAGAAAAGGAUGCUAUGAAAAACGAAUAUGAAAGAGAGAUCAAAAGGAUUCGCAAAAAGUACCAGCUUGGAGUUGGGUCGUCAGCGGACAUGAUUCCAUAGAUCUAGUUUCUUUCCGUUUAUGAUCAUCAAAAUUAUAUUUCUAAUUGUAAUCCUUUACAUUAUUAAUAAAAUGAGAUUUUUAAUACAAAAAAAUAUGUUAUUCUCAUUAUGAUAUUUUCAAUUUAUGUCUUAAAGUUCCUUGAAAAAUAAUAAUAAUAAAAUUCACAUUUGCAUUUGUAUAUCAUACAUCAUGCUGCAUCUUGGUCUUGCUUUGAGCAAGUUCGUAAGGGGUCUUAUUUCUUUCUUGGUCUUCAUCCAGACAAGUUGUCUCACCGGUACAAUAUUCGAGCUAAUUAGUUGAAAGUGAUGGACUGCCUAGAGAAAGAGAAUUAUGAACUCCGUGAAGAGGUGACAACCUUAAGGGACAACUAUGAGAGGCUUACUACUAUGAUGGAAGCUUUGGUGGCUGCUCAGAAUCAGCUUCCUCCUCCUCCUCCUCCUCCUCAAACUCCGCUUCAGAGAACCGUGAUUUCCAAAAUUGUUUCUAGGCCUAUCUUUGUGGAUCCCGUCAGUGCUCCGCAACACCAAAUGCCUUCUGGUUUCCCUUGGGGCAUGCCUCCUAACUUCGUGCUUGAGGGGUAUCAACCUGCUGUUGAAGUUCCUAUGGCUCAACCUAUGAUCUCAGUACCACCUCCCAUGGUUCAUGUUGUUCCUUAUGUCUAAGAAAAUAUCUUUCAUGUUGACCAGAGCGAGACUGUCGGUGUUUAUGAAAGAAUGGAUGAGUUUCAAGAUCAGUUUCAAGCUAUGCAGAAAGAGAUUCAAACUUUGAGGGGAAAAGAUUUGUUUGGGAAGAAUGCUCAUGAUCAAUGUUUCGUUCGUAAUGUGAAGAUUCCGUACAAGUUCAAGGUUCCAGAUUUUGAAAAGUAUAGAGGCAACUCUUGUCCUCUGAGUCAUCUGGUGAUGUACGCUCGUAAGAUGUUGAAUCAGACUAACAACCAUCAAUUGUUGAUCCAUUACUUUCAGGAUAGUUUGACUCGUGGUGCUUUGAAAUGGUAUAUGGGACUUGAUAGUACUCAUAUCCAAACAUUCAAUGAACUAGGUGAGGCAUUUGUUCUCCAAUACAAAUAUAAUGUCGACAUGGCACCAGACAGGGAUCAACUUCGUGCUAUGUCCCGAAAAGAUAAAGAAACUUUCAAGGAAUAUGCACAAAGAUGGCGCGAGAUCGCUGCACAGGUUAGUCCUCCGUUGGAAGAAAAGGAAACAACUUCACUAUUUUUGAAGACGUUGAGCCUGUUCUAUUAUGACAGGAUGGUAGCAAGUUCCUCUAAUGACUUUACUGAAAUGGUAAAUAUGGGCUUGAGAUUAGAAGAAGGUAUUUGUGAAGGACGAUUGAAAGAAAAUGGUUCGACCGAGAGUUCCAGAAAGUAUGGGAAUGGGUUACCCAAGAAGAAACAACAUGAUGCUAAUGUUAUCUCGCAAGAGAAACGUAGGAGGCUUUAGAGGAACAAUCAACAUCAUUAGCAUGUGGCGUCUGUAACUCCAGUUAUUAAUUUUGCUUUGGUUGUUCAAGCAGCACCAAGUUAUCAACCGCGUUUCCAGCAAUGUACAAAUCAACAGAAUCGUGCCCAGAGGCCCGCAUAAUUUGAUCCAAUUCCAAUGACCUAUACAAAGUUAUUUCCUGUUUUAAUAUAUAAGAAUUUGGUACAAACAAGAACUCCAUCAUCUAUUUCGAAAGAGCUUCCAUGGUGGUAUAAACCUGACCAACAUUGUGCAUGCCACCAAGGAGCACCUGGCCAUGAUAUUGAAAAUUGUUUCGCUUUGAAAGCUGAGGUAAGAAGGCUAAUACAAAGUGGUAUCUUAUCAUUUGAAGAUUCUAGUUCCAAUGUAUAAGCUAAUUUGUUACCCAAACAUGGCAAUGCAACUGUGAAUAUGGUCGAAGGAUAUCCCAGAAAGUACCGAGUUUUUAACGUCAAUCUAAUCAGAAGAUCCUUUGUUGAAAUGCAUGCUACUUUAUGUGAAAUGGGAUAUUAUGAGCAUGGGCAUGCUUGUUGCCAUGUUUGUUCCAGAGGUCCCCGUGGAUACGCUGUUGUGAAAAGAAACUUACAAGAAAUGCUGGAUCAAAACCUUAUUCAUGUUACAAGGGAUAGAAAUGAAGAUGAGCAUGAGGUGAACGUCAUAGUUCCCUGUUUCAAUCUCCCGGAACCUGUUGCGAUUGCAUAUAAUGGUAAGAAGACUGUUGUUUCUCCAUUGGUUAUUCAUUUGGCAGGUCCUAUGCCUCACGAGUCUGAUAAAGUUGUGCCUUACAAGUAUAAUGCUACUAUGGUGGAAGACGCUAAAGAGGUGCUUAUUCAUGAUUUCAUGUCUGUGGUGAACAUCGUCGAUGUAAGUGAUGUGACCCUAAAUGGCCGGGUAUUUACUAUUGCAGCUCGUAAGAGAACUAAAAAUGUUGUGAUAGAGAAAUCAACUCAAGAGAAAACUUAUGUUAUACAAGUCGGCCAAUCCAACAGUGUGAAUCAGAAUGUUGAUCAAGAUGAAGUGCUGAAAUUGAUCAAGAGGAGUGAUUUCAAUGUGGUGGAUUAGUUGUUUCACAUUCCGUCCAAAAUAUUUGUAUUAUCCCUACUGAUGAGUUCAUAAUCUCACCGAGAAGCUUUGUAGAAGGUUCUAGAGCAGGCCUGUGUGGACCACGACGUGACGAUCAAUCAAUUUGAUGGCAUUGUGGAUAAUAUUACUGCAUGUAACAAUCUGAGCUUUAGUGAUGAAGAGCUGCCUGAGCAGGGAAGGAACCACAAAUUGGACUUGCAUAUCUUUAUGAACUGUUAGGAAGAUGCCUUAUCCAAUAUGCUGGUGGAUACUAGGUCCUUUCUGAAUGUUCUCUAUAAGUCCGCGCUAUCUAAGCUUGCUUAUCAAGUUGCUCCAAUGAGAUUCAACGAAGUUGUUGUGAAAGCCUUCGAUGGCUCAAAAAAGACUAUAAUUGGGGAGGUUGAUCUCCCAAUAAAGAUAGGUGCAUGCUUAUUUACGAUCACUUUUCAAGUAAUGGAUAUUCAUCCCGCCUACACUUGUCUCUUAGGACAUCCGUGGAUUCAUAAGGUUGGGGGAGUAACAUCAAAUCUACACCAGAAGUUAAAUUUUAUGAAGAAUGGGAAGUUAGUGAUCAUAGGUGGCUAGCAGGCCAUGUUGGUGAGUCAUCUCUCUUCAUUUUCAUACAUUGAUGUUGACGAAGCCGAAGGAACCUCGUUUCAAGCCCUUUCUGUUGAUAAUAUUGUUGAUAAGAAGAAUGGUAAAUCCAUGUCAUCAUUGAAGGAUGCCCAACGUCUAUUGAAGAAUGGUCAAUCUGCUAAGUGGGGGAAAUUUGUUGAGCUUCCCGAGAACAAGAACAGAGCUGGUUUGAGUUUUUCACCUGGUGCAACCCAAAGAGAUCUAAAGAGAAUUCAAGAAAUGUUUCAUAGUGCUGACUUUAUUCAUUCCAGAGAUCAGAUUGCUGCCACAAUUUUAGAAGACGAUGAAGAGAAGGGAAUGCUGAACUUUGUGACACGUGGAUCGAUGUGCCAAAAUUGGAUUGCUAUUAAUGUUCCUCCUGUUAUUCACUUAUCGAAGUGAUAUGUUUUUUUGUUAUUAUUUUCAAAAUCCUUUCACUAUUCCCAAGGUGAAAGUGAAUCUAUAUGGGCUUUGUUUCAGAUUUCAUUAUCAUUAAUAAAAUGUUAUUUCGUUUAUCCAUAUUAUGUUUUUGCUUUUUGCUUUUUCUGGAAAAAACUGUAACAUAAAAAACAAGAUAAUAAUCACUUUUACAUCUGCAUCACAAUGUGCGUUUAUUUGUUCAUAUUCUAAAAUCAAGCAUAAAAUCAUUGUGUAGAUUAAUUGUUAAACCCAUUGAAAACAAUGACCUUAUGCCCUUUCCCAACUUUGAAUUCUCUAGGUUCAAAAUGGAAGAAGAGGAUGAUGAAGAGAUUCCUGAUGAGAUUUCUCGGUUGCUUGAACAUGAAGAAAAUACCAUUUAACCUCAUAAGGAGACGUUGGAAGUGAUUAAUUUGGAUUCUGAAGAGAACAAGAAAGAAGUCAAUAUUGGGGAACUACUUUGUCCAGAUGUUAAGAAGAGGAUGGUAGAGCUUCUUAGAGAAUACGUGGAUGUGUUUGCUUGGUCUUAUCAAGAUAUGCUAGGUCUUGAUACUGAUAUUAUGGAGAAUCGAUUACCGUUGAAGCCAGAAUGUACGUCAGUUAAGUAGAAGUUGAGAAGGACUCGCCGUGAUAUGGUUGUCAAGAUUAAAGAGGAGGUGCAAAAGCAGAUUGAUAUUGGAUUCCUUGUUACUGCUGAAUAUCCUCAAUGUGUGGCUAACAUUGUGCUUGUUCCAAAGAAAGAUGGUAAAGUUCGGAUGUGUGUUGAUUACAGAGACUUGAACAAAGCUAGUCUGAAAGAUGAUUUUCCUCUGCCACACAUUGACAUGUUAUAGAUAAUACAACUAAGUUCAAUGUCUUCUCCUUUAUGGAUGGGUUCUCUGGUUAUAAUCAUAUCAAGAUGGUGCCCGAGGACAUGGAAAAGAUUACAUUUAUUACACCCUAGGGAACAUUUUGUUAUAGAGUGAUUCCUUUUGGUUUAAAGAAUGUUGGUUCAACGUGCCAAAGAGACGUGAAUACUCUUUUCCAUGACAUGAUGCACAAAGAGAUAAAAGUCUAUGUUGAUGAUAUAAUUGCUAAGUCGAGGACUGAAGAAGAUCAUGUUGAGUAUUUGUUGAAGUUGUUUAAGUAGUUGAGAAAGUUUAAACUCCUGUUGAAUCCUAAUAAAUGUACUUUCGGUGUCUGUUCAGGAAAGCUAUUAGGUUUCAUUGUCAUCCAGAAAGGUAUUGAAGUAGAUCCUAAUAAAGUCAGAGUUAUUCAAGAGAUGCCUGCACCAAAGAUAGAAAAGCAAGUCAGAGGCUUCCUCGGGCGUCUAAAUUAUAUAUCCAGAUUUAUAUCUCAUAUGACUGCCACGUGUGGACCAAUCUUCAAGCUUCUCCAUAAAGAUCAAGGUUGUAUUUGGACAAAGGACUUCCAGAAAGCUUUUGACAACAUUAAGGAGUAUCUUCUUGAACCUCAUUUCUUGUCUCCCCAAGUGGAAGGAAGACCUUUGAUUAUGUAUUUGACUGUGUUAGAAGAGUCCAUGGGUUAUGUGCUUGGACAACAAGAUGAAACUAGUAGAAAAGAGCAUGCCAUCUACUAUCUGAGUAAGAAGUUUAUAGACUGUGAGUCUCGAUAUUCUAUGCUUGAGAAGACUUGUUGUGCUUUAGCUUGGGCUGCCAAACGUUUACGCCAGUAUGUGAUAAAUCAUACCACUUGGUAGAUAUCUAAAAUAGAUCCAAUUAAGUAUAUUUUUGAAAAGCCUAAUUUGACUGGAAGGAUAGCUAUUUGGCAUAUGCUAUUGUGUGAAUAUGAUAUUGAGUACCGUACUCAUAAAGCGAUUAAAGGAAGUAUUCUUGCAGAUCAUUUGGCUCACCAGCCAAUCGAUGAUUAUCAAUCCAUCAGGUUUGACUCCCCUGAUGAAGAUGUUAUGUACUUAAAAGCUAAGGAUUAUGAUGAACCAUUGCAUGAAGAAGGACCAGAGCCUGGAUCCCGGUGGGGUUUAGUGUUUGAUGGAGUUGUUAAUGCUUAUGGUAAUGGAAUUGGGGCAAUCAUUAUUACUCCUAAGGGUUCUCAUAUCCCUUUCACUGCAAGAUUGAUGUUUGAUUGUACGAAUAAUAUGGCAGAAAAUGAAGCUUGUAUCAUGGGUAUUUAAGAGGCCAUUGAUUUGAGAAUUAAAAUUCUUGAUGUGUAUGGAGAUUCACUUCUGGUGGUUAAUCAGAUUUAAAGGAGAAUGGGAUACUUGUCCUCCUGGCUUAAUUCCUUACAAGGAUUAUGCAUGGAGGUUCUCAACUUUCUUCAAUAAAAUAGAGUUUCAUCAUAUACCUUGUGAAGAGAAUCAAAUGGCAGACGCUCUGGCUACUUUGUCCUCUAUGUACAAAGUAAAUCUUUGGAAUGACACACCCAGUAUCAUAAUUAUGCGCCUUGAUAGACCUGCUCAUGUGUUUGUAGCAGAAGAAGUCACAAAUGAUAAGCCUUGGUAUUAUGAUAUUAAACGUUUCCUCCAGAGUCAGGAGUACCAGCUUGGGGCAUCAAAAGAUAAGAAGACUUUGAGAAAACUGGCUGACAAUUUCUUUCUAAACGAAGAUGUGAUGUAUAAGAGAAACUUUGACAUGGUUUUGCUCAUAUGCGUGGAUAGACAUGAAGAAUACGUGUUAAUGCAAGAAGUUUAUGAAGGAUCCCUGAUCGGUAAAAUAACAAGUGUACUAUUUGCACCAAUGUAGUAAUAAAAUGGGAGUUAUCCCGAGUAUCGAUCUCGAGGAAUGCGUAAUAAGUAUCGAUCUUUAUAAUAAUUCAGUUGAACAAAAGAUCAUAUGGGGUUUGCUGAGUGUUUUAAAAAAUAAUAAGAACUAGAAAUAAAAAUAUUAAGCGUAUAUAAACUGUUUAACCGAUAUGAGAAAGCAUGCUAGGGCCAGAUGUAUGAAUUGCUUUGUAAUACACUUCUUCCAUAUCAUAUAACAUCUAUAUUGUAAUUAUUCAAAACCGAUUCUAAAGAAUUGUUUUCUCUAAUUCCUUAGUCGAAAACCAUUAACAGUCAAUUUCAAUCCUAAUUCCUUAGUUAUUCAAAUUGAUGUUAGGAAAUAUGUAAUUGAUCAAGAAUUAACGGUUACUACGGUUUGAUCCCCAUUCCUAAGUGAUUAAACUGAAGUUUUAUUAUACAACAAGCGAUAAGGCGGUUUGCCCGACCUAAACCUUAACCAGAGAUCAGAAUUUCAUUUGUCCGAUAAAAUAAAGCAUUAAGAACGUUGUAUAAUAAUUUGAAUGAAGAAAACAUCGAUGAUCAUAAAAACAUAGAAAAAGUAUUCAUACAGUACCAAUUCAGGGACACCCCCUAACAUUGGGGGGGUUUAGCUUCUCAUAAUAUUCAAAGACAGUAAAUUACAAAUUAGAGACAUUACAAUUUGUUGUUGAUGAAGGUUGAUCUUCAAUCUCUUCCGAUCUUGAAGAUCUCUUAUCCUCUAAACACCUAAAUUAGAGACAUUACAAUUUGUUGUUGAUGAAGGUUGAUCUUCAAUCUCUUCCGAUCUUGAAGAUCUCUUAUCCUCUAAACACCUUGCACGCUCGCUUCUUCUUUCUGUCUCUUUUCUUCUACGAUUAAAAAAUUCCUUUUCUCUAUGCCAAAAUUCAGACUAAAUAGCUUCCAAACAACUAAAAACAUUACGGAAUACCCAAACUGCCCUCCGGACGUACAAAGGGGUCAAUACACGAAAAAAUCAUCAAACUGGGCGAAAUGGCCAACACGGGCCGUGUCAGGUGACACAGCUGCUGAUAACACUGAAAUUUACCGUAUUUUCGACUCCGAUUUCACAUGCAUUCUAGUUGUUUUAUUGCUAUUUUGUUGUGUUAUUACUAUGUUUUUCUCUGUUUUUAGGUUUUUACUUUAAUC
This 53821-nucleotide long non-coding RNA is filed under the name Lathyrus oleraceus (garden pea). Its description in RNAcentral is "Pisum sativum (pea) long non-coding RNA (PSAT_LNC011526)". Lineage: Eukaryota; Viridiplantae; Streptophyta; Magnoliopsida; Fabales; Fabaceae. The record is from RNAcentral.